This 46057-nucleotide long non-coding RNA is filed under the name Capsicum annuum. Its description in RNAcentral is "long non-coding RNA (CANN_LNC007897)". Lineage: Eukaryota; Viridiplantae; Streptophyta; Magnoliopsida; Solanales; Solanaceae. The record is from RNAcentral.
AAACAUGUCCCAUCACAAAAAAAGUGUUGAAGACUCUUGAGCCAGUACCCAAUCACGCCGUGAGGAAAAUGAUCCAAGAAUGGUGUGUUGAGAAUAAAGAUCAUGGGAUCGAGAGGAUCCCAACUCCAAGAAUCCCAGUAACCUCAUUAGAGGUAAUAGAGAUUCUUAGGAAGGUAGAGUCUUGCUGCAAAUCGCAGCAAGGCUUAGAGUCUGGUCGAGAACUAGUAAUGAAAAUGAGGAAGAUGAUAAAGGAAAGCAUGAGGAAUAAACGUUGUUUUGUUACCAAUGGAGCCGGAAAGAUCCUAUCGUCUACACUUCUUGUUUUUUCGGAGAAAUUAUCGGUUGGUGAUACUGAGACAAUGGAAGAAAUUCUAUCAACUCUGACAAUAUUAUUGCCUCUAGAUGGUGAGUCCAAGUCAAUUCUUGGAUCAAAAUCAUCUUUAAAUUGCAUGAUUUGGUUCUUGAAGUGUGGGAGUUUAUCAAGCAGGAGGAAUUCGGUAUUUUUGCUCAAAGAAGUCAUGAGAAUGGAGGAAAUAUGGAGAGUAGAAGAGUUACUAAAGAUUGAUGGAGCUUUGGAAUCUUUAGUGAAGCUUGUGAAAGAGCCAAUUUGUCCUACUACUACAAAGGCUUCUUUAUUAACAAUUUACCAUAUGGUUAAUUCAUCACAAUUAUCAAAUGAGAAGGCAAGAUCAAAAUUUGUUGAUUUGGGGUUAGUGGAAUUACUUAUAGAAACACUUGUGGAUUGUGAGAAGAGCAUAUGUGAAAAAGCAUUAGGAAUUUUGUCUGGACUUUGCAACUCAGAGAAAGGAAGAAAGAGGGCUAAUAGUUAUGCCUUAACUAUUCCUGUUUUGAUCAAGAAAUUGUUAAGAGUUUCAGAUAUGGCAACUGAAUUUUCAGUUUCAAUCUUAUGGAAACUAAUUGGGAAGAAUGAAAAAAAGGAUAAUGUUGUGCUUAUUAAUGAAGCACUUCAAGUUGGUGCAUUUCAGAAGCUAUUGCUACUAAUACAAGUUGGUUGUAGUGAAAAUACUAAGGAGAAGGCUAGCGAAUUGUUGAAAUUAUUGAAUUUGCAUAGAGAUAAGGUAGAGUGUAUUGAUUCUUUGGACUUGAAGAACCUAAAAAGGCCAUUUUGAACUUAGGUAUAGCUGAUACACGUACACUAUUUUUUUUCAUCCGCCAAUGUACAAAAUUGAACAAGGACAAUGAAUUACUGACUACUCUUUGGAAAUAUACAACUUUGUAUUCUUUUUAAUUUUGAAAUAAAAGAUUAUGUUUACUACCCAAGUGAAUUUGUCUAUUAUUAACUUGGAUUUGAUGUGAGAGAUUUUGUUAUCAAUCAAAUUUGGUACCUAGGCCGUGACAGGACAUUGAAUGAGCACUAAACUAAGCAUAACAGUAAACGAUUUAAACAGUAAAAUACAAUAAUAUAUAGUACAAUCUUGUAAUAUAAACGUUCGAACAAAAAACCCAUAUAUGGAAAAUAAAAGGCUAGGUUGCUCGUACAUUAGACUAUGCAGAUGACUUAUCGGGACAAAUUUAGUAAGCAACUUAUUAUGCCUUUUUUCCUUUAACUAAUUUAUAUGGCGGUUGGUGAUGGCAUUGACCAACGGUGAUAGUCAUGAUUUUAUGUGUAUCAACUACGGAUAGACCUAUAUUGUACCAAUUGAGUUUAACACACAAAUUGCUUCACCUUUAUACUAUGGAAGUAUGGAACCGAUUCGUGGUCAUUACCUUUUGAGUGCAUACAAAUAAACUUCGCUUUGAUGUAGUUGCGCCUUGAUCAUGUAAUCUUUUUUUAGAUUCGAUGGUCAAUUCCUGUGGAACUGUUGUGGCUAGGAAUGUCCUAGUUGUGAUGUUUGUUGCUCACUGGAGUUGGUAAUUCACAAACUACACAGGUAAACUCCAUAUAAGUAGCUGGACGGAGAAAGUGUGCUAAGGAGUAACAUACUUCUUGUUGUUUUUCGGGUACAAAAUCUACAUUUACAACAAUAAACUUCUACAUCAAGUUCAAGAAUAGCUUCAAGAACAACAAAGAAGUUCAAACUAAUUUAUGAAAAUUGUAAAACCAAUGGUUAGAAAGAGAUAAAGAUAAACAGAAUAAAGUUCAUCGAAUUCACAGUGUGUUCUUAAGGAAUUUAUUCCUCUCAAAGCUGUUGAAAAUUUAUUUUGUUAUAAUACUACAAUAGUGAACGAUAAGUAUUUGAAAGGUGCUAAGCAUAUGGAAUUUGAAAUACUUUUCGAUUAAAGAAGAAGUCCAGAAACAUAAAGUGUCAAUUGAAUAUAUUAGCACCAAGCUUAUGAAUGCUUACUCUUUGACGAAAGGAUUAGCGCCUAAAACAUUUAUUGAACAAGUUGAAAGAAUGGGCUUUAUUGACACUACAACACAAUGCAUCUAUAGCUAUGAAUUUGAAAAUUGUAGCUAUUACCUAGAAAUAGCCCCGAGAAAUCGAAUUUCAUAGCUAUCUACGAAUUAGUAAAGUUUCUUAGCCAUGAAAAGUUGAUUGACAAAGCUAAUUCCUCAUUUCUUCUAUAAUUGCUAACAAUCGUGACAAUAAUUGUCUAAAUAGCUACAGUUAAAUUCAGUUGCUAAUCAUAAGUUUUUCUUGUAAUGUUAUAAAAGUUAUUGUAGCACUAGUAACCUUUUAGCUGCAAUAAACUAUUUGAAACAAAAUGUUAUAGCUAAAUAAAUAUUUUUGCUUCAAGUUAUAAAAAAGUUGUGGCAAUAGUUAAAUGAUAUAGCCACGUCUUUGUUGCUAUGAUAAAAAUUUGUAGCAAAUUAUUAGUUUUUGCCACGAGUAUAAAGUUAUCGUAGUAAUAAUAAUCUCUUAGCCAUGACAAAUUAUUUAAAAUAAAAAAUUAUAGUUGAAUAAAUAUUUUUACUUCAAGUUACAAAAAUAAUUAUAGCAACGUCUUUUUUACUAUGAUAAAAUUUUAUAGCUAAUUAUUAGUUUUUACCACAAAUUUAAAUUUAUUGUAGUAAUAGUAAUCUUUUAGCCACAAUAAAUUAUUUGGAACAAAAAUUGUACCUAAAAUAUAUAUUUUUGCUUCAAGUUACAAAAUAAUCAUGGCAAUAGUUAACUAACAUAGCCAUAGAUUUUUUGCAACAGAUAAAAUCUUAUAGCUAAUUAUUAAUUUUUGUCAUGUAUUAAAUUUGUUGUAGCAAUAAUAACAUUUUAGCCAUAGAAAGGUUAUUUAUAAUAAAAUAUCAUAGCUAAGUAAUAGUUUUACUUCAAGCACUUAAAAAGUUGUGAGAGUAGUUGACUUAAUAGCAUUAAUUAUUUGUCAUUACAAAAUGAGAUAGACACAAAUUUAUUAUUGUGAUCAAAUUUCAUAGUUGAUAAUUAUUUUUACUAUGGAUUAAAAAUUGUCGUAUAAAUUCUAAUCUAGUGUAGUUAAAGGUGUUUUUCAUUUCGACUCGAUUUUAAAUAUUACAAGCCAACUUAUAAAAUCAAUAUAUAUAUGUAAAAGAGAAUGUUAGUCCAUCCUAUGUGGUAUGCCUUAGAGACCUUCAAUGUCAUUUAUCCUUCUUGUGAUUUUUUUGACAUUAAUUGAGUUUUUUUUCUCCAUUUAAAUAUUUAUGUGUUUAAAAAAAUUCAAAAGCCACUAUAUUUAACUCUAUUAAUUAUAUAAUAAUUUUAAGAAUGAGGAAGAGUUGAGGAGUUACUAAUGUGGAAGGUCUCUUAUAGUGAAUAUAUAAUACUCCAUUGGAAUGGGAUAGUAUAUAAUCUGAAAAUUCUUCAAUAUUGCUACAAUAUUCAUUUCCACCUUCCUUUCCGUAUAUAAAAGAUAAGAGUUGUACAAACCAAGUUUAAGCAACAAUAUGAACUUUUAGGUUAAUAUUUGCUUAAGUUUUGUAUUUCUGCUUACUACUUUUUGUUUGGAUUUUCUCACUAAACCAAAUGUGGAACAAGUAUUUUAAAGGUCACAUGUUUUUUUUUUUUUGUUCUUUUUUUUUUUUUUUUUUUUUUUUUUUUUUUUUUUUUUUUUGAUUCCUUCUGGAUAUUAUAUUUUUCUGUAAGUUCUUUCUACCUAUGCAACACAUGUUUUUUUAAAUCCUUUCUUGAUUUACAAAUUGUAGUAGAAACGAUUGACUUGUGAGGGAGUUUUUAGAAUAUGAGAAUCCGUUAGUACCGAGAGAAAUAGUGAGUUAAGUUUAUUACUUUGGGUAUGAUUUUUAUACUAGAAGGUAUUUUGGUCUCAUUUUAAUUAAUUGUAAAUUUUUUAUUAUGUCUUUGGAUAAUCGCUAAGGUUUCUAUUUGGCUAGGUCGAUUUAAUGCAUGUUGAAAUAGGAAAAAAUCUAGUGUACAGAUUGAAGAAAAUUCUGAAUGAAGGUUUAUUAUUUGACAUUAAAAACUUUAAGAUUAUUAUUGAAAGCAAUGGAGCAUAUAAACAACUUAGACGUAAUAGAGCACUUUUCUUCUUUUUGUUCAAUUCUCUCUAAUUUAAAUUAUGUGGUAUAUCACUAAAGCUCACAUUUAUUUAAUUUUAAUACUCAUGAUUUUCAUUUUAUUUUCUUAUCUAAAACUCAACUUUCAUAAUUAAAUGCCUCAAUUGAGUAUGUUUUCUUAAAAUAUCAAAAUUUUUAAAUAAUUUACAUCUCAUAACCUAACAUUAAAUUAUGUCAGUCAAUUAAAAAGGUUGUGACAAAAGAUUGAACCCAUUCAAAAAUUAGAAGUUUGAAUGAUUAAGAAAUAUAUAUGAGUAUAUAUAUUUAUUGUUAUUUAUUUUAAAAUUGUUUUCUUAAAAAAAAAUUCAUCUAUAACCUAACAUUAAACUAUGUCAGCCAAUUAAAAAGAUUGUGAUAAAAAAUUGAACCCAUUCAAAAAGUAGAAGUUUGAAUGAUUAAGAAAUAUAUAUGAGUAUAUAUACUUAUUGUUGUUUAUUUUAGAAUUUUUAAUUGAUUAUUUCUCCAAAAAUAAGAUAUGUAUUCUCCAAAAAUAAGACUUUAUAACAAAAUUUUACACUCUGUGUCAAAGGAAAACAUGAAAUACUCUCCAAUUGAUUAUUUUAUUUCUAAAAUAAAAAUUUAUUGAUAUUUGUUAUAUAAAUUUUUUGUUUUUUAAAAUAUACAAUCUACUAAUCUACUGAUAAUAAUAAAGGUAGGAAUAAAAGAAGAGGUAUGACAUUUUUCUUUGGUCAAGAAGUAAGUUUAUCUUUAUUCUCUUUUUGGAAUUUUCUUUAUUUUUUCUCAUUUAUGUUCUAGAUUAAAAUAAAUUAAAAAUCACUCAUUUAUUUCUCUUAAUUAUAUUAAUUAUUCAAUGUUAAGAAACUAAAAAGUCACCAAAAUUUUUUAAUAUCAUAACCCCAAAAAUAAUUAAUAGUCAUAUUCAUGACAUUAUUUAUUGUUGAGAUAAUACAUCAAAACCCUCCUGAACAUGUUAGCAAAAACUUACUUUAGACCCUAAACUAAUCAAAUAAUUAUUUACCCCCUUAUAAACUUUAAAGUGUAUUAUUUUACCCCCUUAACAACUGAUGUGACAAAAAAAAUAAAGGUGUGUUUUAGUGGAAAAAAAGUAUAAAUUUUUUUUAGUAGGGCCCACUUUUAUAUUUUUAAACAUUAUUGUUUUCCCUUUCUUCCUCACACCCCACCAUCCCCAUUUCUUCAUCUUCUUCCUCACACCCCACCACCCUCAUUUCUUCUUCUUCCUUUAUUUUUUUUUCACUUCUAUUCACCAAAAUCUUCAAUCAAAUACACAAUAAUAAAAUACAUAAAUUAUACGACAAAUAAACUUUCCUAUAAAGAUCAAGAAUCAACAAAUUAAAUCCCAAAAAUACAUAAAAAUCAAUUCUUUAAGGUAUCGUUCUCCAAGAAUUUGCUAAAUUUCAACACACAAAAAAUUCAAAGAGCAAAUCACAAAAAAAAAAAAAGAAAUUCAUUUAAAUUUUUAACCAUUAUUUUUUUUUCCUUCAAAAUUUUCAAAUCUUAAAAAUCACUACACUUAAACAACAUGAGAAAGAAGAGAUCAAUAGAAUCACGACUAACUUAUUCAAAUGCUUAUUGCUUUAUCACAAUGAAACUAUAGUUUCUUCACAAAUCAAGAUAUUGGAACUAUAUUUAUCAACCUUAUUCCUUCAACCAAGUUUACAAGCUAAUUAUAACCAUGGAAUUGAGUAGAAAAAUAAAUUCUACAAAUUUUUAACCUUAUUCAAUUUAACCAAAAAAUUUGAUCGACGAACUUCCCCAGAGCACCUGCGAUGGAAUUCUUCGCCAGAAAACGCUGAAACCAGCGAUCAGAAUCAGUCGCAGCAGUCCACCAUGAUUGUCGCUGUUCCAACGAUGGAGGUCAGCUGUUCAUAGGAGGAGGAAGAAGAAGAAAGAGGAAUGGGGUUUGUGGAGCGGAGGUUAGUUGUUGUUCAUGGAAGGAGGAAGAAAAAAGAGGAGGAACGGGCAGGGGUGCAUAUACCAAAAUACAAGAACAGUCACACCAAUUGUAUAUAAACAUAAACAUAUAUAUAGAAAUAUAUAUAUAUAUAUAUAUAUAUAUAUAUAUAUAUAUAUAUAUAUAUAUAUAUAUAUAUAUAUAUAUAUAUUUAUUUAUUUUUUUAAAAAAUAUAUUUUUUAUAUAUAGAAAAAUAGUAUAUAUAUAUUUUUCUUUUUUAAAAAAAUAUAUAAAAAUAGAUGUGUAUGGAAUUACUUUUUUUAAAAAAAAUUAUAAUUUCUUACGUGGCAAUGGCAUGGCACAGAUGUGACACUGAUUUGGCAAUGACAUGGUAUUGACAUGGCUCAAAUUGGGGUGUGUGUACUUCACUCUCCGCAGUGAGAGUGGUAUAAUGUUUUUAGAGGGAUAAAUAAUUCACUUUAAUGUUAUUAAGGGGGUAUAUAAUUGCCCGAUUAAUUUAGGAUUUAAAGUAAGUUUUGGCCACAAGUUCAGGAGUGUUUCGAUGUAUUAUCUCUUUAUUGUUUCAUAUUAUAGUUUACAAAUAGAAAUAUUGUAAAACAUUGUUAACAUUAGUUGCAUUACCUUUUGGUGUUAUAAUGUUUUCGAUGCUUAUUACAUCCAUGUUAAAAUUCGACUUGAGGUAUAAGAUGAAGGCUAUUUAGUAGUGAUUGACUUGUGAUAGUGAAUAUCGACAAGAGUUAUGAAGAUUGAACAUCAAUUCAUAUAUUUUUUAUUUUAAUUUUUAAUGAUUAAUGUCGUAAGAGUGAUGUUGCAUUAUUUAUUUUUUUAUAUUCAAAAUGUAUAUACUUGAUAAAACUGAAAACAUGUAUAUUUUUGUUUUUGGAAAUUAGAAAAGAUAGAACCAAAUAGAAAAAAUUGAAUACAAUUAUAGAAAAUUUAGGAAAUAAAAUAUUCAGAUUUGAAAAGUCAUGAUUACAAACUAAUACUAAAAUUCAGAAUUCAAUUUUAACAUAUAAAAAAUAUAUAGACAAACUAAGAAAUUUGAAUAUACCUAAACACUAACACAGAGUAUCCAUUAUAUAAAUGUAGGCAUGCGAUUAAGUAUUGUUCUUUGAAUCUCAUGUUAUAAUUUGAUAAUUGUUAGCCCUUAAAUAGAGGCAUUGUCAGACUUUUUAGAAAUGAUCACCUUAUUUUUGUAAGUUGUUAUGUUGUUGAUAUUUAUUAUAUUCAUGCUCAGUCGAAAAAUUAGAUGAAGACUAUUAAGUGGCGUUCGGUAUUAUGGGAGUGGAUACCGACAAAAACUCAAAAGAUUGUUCAUUAGCUUCACAUACUUUUUCUUCUAUUUUUUUUAUGAUGGUUGAGGUUGUAAAAAUGAGUCACAUCAUUUAUUUUUUCAUAUGUUCUCCCUAUGAUUUUUUCCCCUUUAUUUUGUUUUUUAUAUGAGUUUUUGAUUAUCAUAAGUUUAUAGCUUCUUUUGGUUUAAAAUUGUAACUUUUUGACUUUAUUAAAAGUUGGUAAUUAUUGGCCAAACAUUUACCUUUACAAAAUCAAUUAUACAUAUGUUAAAAGCCUGCUAAACAUUUCUUCAAAUUAAAUUAUAUAAAUUAUACUUAAUAAUAUUAUUGAUAUUUUACCUUUUUUCAUAAUCGCGCGAAGCGCGGAUCAUUUUACUAGUUCAAAUAUAUUUUCAAUCAAUAGGUGAUUAUAUUUGAUUAAUCUUGAUUAACUAACUAGAGAAAAUUGAAGGAAAUGUGUCAAGUCUUGAAUGUGGUAUUGCUGACACUGACCAACUUAAAAGGUCAAACAUAAUUAGAAAACUUGAUUAAGUUAAUUGUAGACUUGAUUAAUAUUUUCAAAACUUUCUAAUCUUUUUAAAAAUACAAAUCAACCACACCCCUCCCCUCUCCAAAUCAACCGUCUCUCUCUCUUGAUAGUUUCUCUCAAACUUCUCCCAACCAACAGUUCUGCAAAUUUCUCCCUUCAAUUCUCGAUGACUUCAACUUCCGACGAUAAAUAAUUGGGCUUCGAGUUCCUUUUUAACUUUCAACUGUCAAUCGAUGUGACAACAUUGCUCUCCAACGAUAACAACUUCGAGUUCUUUAUCGUUCCAUUUCUUCUUUCAUAGGUAAAAAAAUUGAGUUUUUUAGUUAUGAAGAAAAAGAGGAACUUGAGCCAAAUCUUCUAGUAUUGGUUAACAAUUUUAAUAUUUAUCGCAUAAAUUUGAAAUAGGGACUGAAGAAAACCCUGGUUUCUGGUAUUUCUUCUCUUCUCUUUCCGUAUAAAAUAUAUUUUUGUUGUUAUUGUAGUUCUUAUUGUUGAAUUAUUGAUUUGAUUUGUUGUAUUUUUUGAAGUUUAAUUUUUUUGUUUGUGUUUGUACAAAUAAAAUAACAAUGUUGGUAUUUUUGGUCACUGUUGAUGUUCUUGGUGUGUGUGUGUUGGUGUUGCUGGUUUGAUUUGUUGUUGUUCUUGGUAAAAAUAUGGUAUUUGAUAUUAAAUGGUGAUAUUGUUGUUGUUCUAUGGAACAAAAUCUAGCUACUGGUUUAUUUUUUUGAAACAGAUAAACCAUCUGAUGCAAUAGAUGGACCAUCUGAUGCAGUAGAUGAGCCAUCUAUUGGAUGAAAUCCUAUUAACUAUUCCAACGGGACGACAUGUCUAACACUUUGAUUUCUUCCAACACACUAUUCAUCUGUUGCGACAAAUGACCCUUCUGUUGGAAAAAAUCUAAAUAAUUGAUAGCUGAUAACAGUUUCAACAGAUCACUCAUCUGUUUCAACAGAUGAAUGAUCUGUUGGAAGAAGUCAGAACAACAUUAAAACUGUAUUUAUUAUUUUCAUUAGAUUAUUCAUCCGUUACAACAGGUUAGUUAUAUGUUGCAACAGAUAACUCACCUGUUAUAACAGACGAGUGAUCUAUUGAAACUGUUAUUUUACUAUGUUGUACUUGUUAGAUUUACUGUUAUCCUUUUUAAUGAUGCAUUAAGCAAUUAUAAUCAUUUUUAUUUUCAUGUUCAUCUUAGAUAGUAUGACACUCAAAUGAAAAAAUAAAUAAAUCAAGUCCAAGUAAUGAAAUAAGUGAAGCAGCUAGACAAUAUCCACCACUAUAUAAGCUUGCUUUACAAGUAAUAUCUCAAUUAGAAGCAAAAGAUAAUGAACAUGGGGAUGAAGAAUGUUUCAAAAGAGAUGAUUCAAAUGCUAAUAGCUCUUCCACAGAAAAGUUGGUCAAAACUUUCAACAUUGAUAGUUAUCCUAUGAGAAUACACUGCGAUGGUGCCAUAGAUUUAACUGGUGAUUUCGUGGUUAAGUCAGCCAUGAAAAAAAUCUUUUGAUACCUUCAGAAAAAUACUUCGAGUCCAAAACUUGGAUUCUUAUUUCAGAGACAACCGCUUUGGGCAAUAUCUUAGUUUGUUGGAGGACAAUAAUGCUCGUUUUCAAAUGGCCAAGAUAUAUGAUCUUCUUAAGCGUAGGUUUAUAUAUGAAAAUAAGGAUAAAAUGGAUGAGGUAUGGAUAAAUUACUGUGGCUUGCCUAUUUGUUUUUGUUGGAAAGAGUUUGUCAUAGUUACUGGAUUAAAAUGUUAUCCCCCUUCUCAACCUAUACUUAUUCUAACCCAAAAAAGUACCCCAUACACCAAAAAAAGGCAAAGACAAGUCAAGUGAUGGUGAUGAAUUAUUGGUCCAAGCUUCAAAAACAAAAAAAUUGAUAGAAGCGUUGAAAGGUGAAAGACUGUCAAAGAAGUACAAACAGUCAUUGUGCUUGGUUUGGUUUGUACAUAGUAUUCUUUGGGCGAGAGAUGUUAACAACAACAUACCACUUGGUUUAAUAAAGUUCUCUGAGGAUCUCGAGGCAUUUAACAGCUAUCCUUGGGGUUAUAAAAGCUUCAAAAUGACAGUCAAAUAUUUGUUGACUCCAUUAACACCAAAGACAGUCAACUUAUAUGGCUUUCCAUGAUAAAUAGUUCUUUUGAAAUGAUUCAUUUAUUUUUUAUUGAAUAAUGCUUUUGAUUUAUUGACAUUAUUUUAUAGGCUUGGGCAUUUGAAGCUAUUUCUUGUUUGAGACAACAAGUGAACUACUAGAAAAAAGUUUCAUAUCCAAGAAUUCUGAGAUUGUUGUCGGUCAAAACUGAUAAAAAGACAAAAUUUCUUGAUCUCUUUAAUCCCCUGAAGGAAAAAAUAAGUCUAAUUCUAAUUAAGUUUUUAUUUUAAUUAAUAAUUUUUUAAAAUGAUUUAGUCAUCACUCUAAUAUAUGUACUGACUUAUUUUAGAUUGUGUAUCCGUGGCUUGUUCCGAUCAAUCGAGAGUUGAAGAUAUCAUUUUUUCUUAAUUUACGAUCUGUGCAAACUUUAUAGAACCUUAAGCUCAUUGACAGAAUAAAAAAGAAAUUACUUGGAGCAACAACCAUCACAAGAAAAAUAAUUUUGGAUGGUGGGCUUUUUGUUAUUGAUGGUGUUAAUGGUGAUGGAGUUGUUGGUGGUGGUAGUGGUAGUGGUAGUGGUGCUGCUAUUGGGGCUAAUGAUGCUCCUCUUGCAGUUUUUGAAACAACAAACCAUUAUGAUUAUGAUCAUAUUGGUUUUACAGAUUUUUUCCCUCCUAGCGAAUGUUCUGCAUACAAAUAUCAAAACUGCUAGGCGAAACAUGAUGAAGUGAUUAAUUUUAUUAGUGCAUUAACUACUUCUGUAAAGGAAUUGACAUCUAAGAGGAGUGUCAUUCCAUCAAAUAGAAUUUCAUAUUCAUACACUCCAUUAGAAACUAAUGGUGCUAAGAGGAGAAGAAAUAAAUGGGUCAUCUGUUGGGACAAAUUACAUCAAGACUUCUCAACUGUUUUAAUUUGUUCCAACAGAUGAGUCGUCUGUUUCAAUAGAUGGGUCAUUUGUUGAAAAUUUUCAUUCAGUUUUUUCUUCUGUUUUAAUUCAUCCCAACAGAUGACCUAUAUGUUGUAAUAGAUGGGUCAUCUAUUGGGACAAAUUACAUCAAGGGUUCCUACUGUUUUAGUUUGUUCCAACAGAUGAGUCAUCUGUUGUAAAAUAUAGGUCAUCUAUUGGGAUAAAUUAAAAUAGUAGGAAGACCUAUUUGAUUUCCUCCAACUGUUGAGUUGUCUUUUUUCAAUUUUUUGAAUCUCUGUGAUUAGUACUGACAAUUCUGACUUUCCAAGCGGAUGUCACAAUAGAAGCUACUGUUGAACGGCAUACCACAAUUGAUAAUCCAUCAUCUGCUUCCAAAGAAGAAGAAAAAGUGAAGCCUGUUAGUCCGGAAGAAUGGAAGAAUUGUUCAUUUGAAGGGUUCAACAUCUCGGAUGAGGCUCCUAAAAAACUAACAAAGUUGUUCAUCGACUAUUUCGAAUGGAUUGUGAUGGACUGUUAAAGAAGCUUCAUGCCAACAGGUACAUAAAUCAUUUUCAAUUAUACAAUUCUUGUUGUUAAAACACGACAUUAACAAAUAUAAAUCAUGCAGAAAAGACCUACACUAUAAAGUGAACCAAUGGGGUCUUGAUUUUGAUAUGUUCGACUUUGUUGUUGCACAUCCCCAAAGAAAGAAUUGUUUCUAUUUGAUGUCACAAUCCCAAACUUGCUGGAAUAAUGAGGUUUAAAUGUCAUAUAUAUAUAUGUAUAUAUAUAUAUAUAUGUAAAUAUAUAUAUAUAUAUAUAUAUGUAUAUAUAUAUUAACAUCAUAUUUAAUUGUGUCUAUUUAUUAAUUUUAUUGUUACGUAAUUUGAAAUGUGCAGCACAUCGAUGCCAUUUUUUACUACCUCUGAAAGAAGGUCAAGUUGAAAACACAACAACGAUAUAAUAUAUAUAUAUCUUUCUAUUAACACUAUAUUUAAUUGUGUCUAUUUAUUAAUUUUAUUAUUACGUAAUCUGAAAUGUGCAACACAUCGAUGUCAUUUUUUACUAUCUCCGAAAGAAGGUCAAGUUGUAAAUACAACAACAAUAUAGAUACACAACAGGAAACUAUUUGUUCAAAGUUUACAUCAGUAAGGCCUACAAUCUUUGUCAAUAACAAUUGGAAAUUCCUCGAAAUGAGGAAUAUUUAAUCAACAUCAUCAAAGGUUUUAGCAUUCCAGCUGGCUUAUCUUGGCACUUGAUCGACGAAGUGUACAUUCCAAUCAAUUAUGGUGAUGAGUUUCGUUGGGUGUUGGUUGUCGUUCUUCUAAAUGAGAGGCACAUCUGAGUUUAUGACUCAGUAUCGCGAAGGAGACAUUCUGAGCCGUUGUCUGAGAUACAAAAGUUGGCCAAAAUAUUGCCUACUUACCUUGAUAUAAGUGGCUUUUUGGACCAAAAGAUUCAUACUGAUUAGUCAAUGAUUGAAGCAUAAGGGGAUAAAAUGGUUAAUCCAUUUGAUGUAGAAAAUGUUAAAAAAAAUUGCUCAACAAUCCAGUGGUAGCCUCUAAGUAUAAUGAUUUAGUUUCAUUUCAUAAAUAUCACAACUCUUAAAUUAAUUGCAAGAUAUGAAUUAUCUAAUUUUUACAAACACAAGGAUUGCAAUCUUUUUGGUACCGCUUACGUCGAGUAUUUGAGCGAUGGAUUACAAGUUUCAAAUGAUGGACUAGUUGCCGGAUUAUUCCAUAAAAUAUAUGCUACUCUUUUAUGAAAAUAUGGAGAAUCAAAGGCUCAAAAAUCGUACACAAGCGACAUUAAAGAUUCACGACGAUCAAAGUCAAAUUUCAUAGCACCGGAUGAAGAGCAACUUGUUAAUAUUGAGUAGAUCUUUAUAGCUUGAGUCAGAGUAAUAAUAUUUCCUUAGAAAUUGUUGGCUAUUGUAGAUAUCUAUCAUCUGUACCCAUAACAUUUUUUUUGCAUUUCAUUUAUUUAUUGAUUUAUUUAAUUUAAUGUAAUUUGUAAAGACUUCGAUUUAUUUUGUUUUGUCUAUGAAUUUUAUUUUAUUCUUAGAUUUGAACUUAUUAAUUAAAAUUGAAUUGUAGAUUCAAAUAUUACAACAAUCAAUUGAUUUGUUGCACCAUAUGUCACACGUGUUGAAAAUUAUCAAAUAUGUCUUUCUACAAGUUUGAAUUGUUCCAAUAGAUGGACUAUCUAUUGCAACAAAUGGUUCAUCUGCUGGAGCAAAGUAAAACAAUAUUACUACUAAACCAGAUGAACCAUCUGUUGCAACAGAUAGUCUAUCUGUUGGAAUAAUUCAAACAAGCAGGAAGACCUGUUUGAUAAUUUACAACAGAUGUGACUUGUUGCAAUAGAUCCAUCAUCUAUUGCAUUAUUUUUUGUAUUAGUUCAUAAGUUUACAAAUUUAAUGAAACCAUACAAUUGUCAUCAAUCAUAAAAAAUAAAAAAAAUUGACAUUACUUAAACAAUAUACAAUUAAGUUAAAAACUUAGAAUAAAAAUUGUCAUUAUUUUUUUACAUUUUAUUUUUUAAACACAGACUUCAAAUUUUCAUAUAGGAUCCCAGCAGCCCAGACCUCUUGCAUCCUUGCCACAAUGUUGUCACUCAGAAAGGACCUUGGUAAUGAGAUUUCGGUGCUAGUUAGCAAACAUUCAAUAUAUGCAAGCGAGUAUGACCUGCACGCGGAAUCGAUUUUAUUUUUGUCAAUGUUCUUUUUUCGACCUUCAAAAGUCCAUCUUUUUUUGAACACUUCCUCUGGCAAGUUUUCAUUCAUUGAGUCACUUUUCUCCAACAAUUUGGGGAUCAACUUUUUUUAUCCUUUUUCAAAUUUUACUUAAAAGAAAAUGGUUUCGACCUUUUCGAACUAUUUCAAAAUUCAAGAAAAUUUCAAAAUAUUUUUUUAAAGAAUUCAUAGAGUCCCCACUUGAUUUUUAUAAAAAAUAUCAAGGAAACUUAAAGAGACUUCAAAGAUUUAAACACAGAAAUAAAUCUUUGAAAUUAGAGAAACUGAGUAAGGGUUCAAUUAACGCCCUAAGAAGGUUUUUAUGGCACUUAGGAACGUCCGUUUUAAAAAAAAGGUUCACCAAAAGAUCAUUUUUGACUAACUUAGGAAAAGGGUGACGAACUUUGCAAGAAGAUUGCUUUUAUAAAAUUAUUUUGUUUACGUGUUUAAAAAUUGACAUUUGUUUAUUCAAACGAAAAAUAGUCUAUUUGAGUUAGAAAAAUCUACAACAUGUUUCACUUAAUCCAAUAUUUAUUUUGAGAAAAAAAGAUUAUAAAAUAUUUUUCCUAAUUUAUGAUUAAUUCUACAAAAUCUUCUAGAGAAAUAUUUUUACUUAUUUUAAAAUUAAUCACAAAAAGUUAGAAUUUGAAAAAAAUCAAGGAAUAUUCUAAUUGAGAAAUAUUCCACUUAAUUCAUAAUUAUUUCUAGAAAAUUAUGAAAUAUUCUACUUGAAUUAAAAAGAAACCUACCUAAACUAGGUUGCACAUUUGGAUUUGAGAAGGAAAUAAGUUUGUGUUUCAUAAAAAAUGAGUUACAUAAUUAUUAUUAUUAUUAUUAUUAUUAUUAUUAUUAUUAUUAUUAUUAUUGUUGUUGUUGUUGUUGUUGUUGUUAUAAAAAAGGCCAAUAACAUCUUUGAAAAAUAUUAAGAAAAUGUCAUGUGAAAAGUGUCUUAUCAAUUAUGAAAAGUUAAAAUUAUGAAAAGUUAUACGAAAUCGAAUUCGUCAAAUUUGAUGAAUUUUCGAUAAGCACAAGAAUUUUCUUCAAUUUCCAAUAAAAACUGAUUUACCAUAGUCUCCAAAACUUUAAGCUUGCUCGGAUGCUCCUGAACCCGAAAUUCCUAUUCUGACCGUAGCCAAUGCAAGGGCAUUUUCAUCAAAUGGAACAUGAACUAUUUGUAAGUUAAGAUAUGAAGCUUCAAAUGAAGAAAUAACACCGAAGAGGGACGAAAUAAGGGAUUUAAUGAAAUGGGUGCUGUUGAUUAAUUGAAGGAAUUUGCAGAAAUUGGGUUUGAUUAUAAUGACUUUUUGGUCCAGGAUAAAUUCUUCGAUGGAGUUAAGGAGAGUGAAGACAUCAUCAGUGUUGUUGUUGUCAGUGUUGGAGUUGUCUUUGUUGACAUCGGCGAAGAGUUCGAAGUUGUUGGUUUUGACAAAGUUGGCGAAUUUGUGAAACAUUUUGGAGAUUUGUUGUGGGGGUUUUGUUGUUGUUCCUUCCAUUUGUAAAAUAUAUUUUAUUAUGGAGAAGACAUUGUUGGAGGAGAAAUUCUUGGCUUGUAGUUUUGGAGGUGGGGGUGGGGGUCAGGAGGGGGUGAUGGGAACGGGGGCGGAUAAUGAAGAAGAAGAUGAAGUUGGGUUCUUGAUUUUUUUUAAUUUUAUAUAUAUAUAUAUAUAUAUAAUAGAAGAGAAGUUUCGACAUGCCUGCUUCAGCAGGCUGCUUGCUUCGUGAUUUUACUAUAUCACCCUAAUUAAUUAUUAUAAAUUAUUUAUAUAUUAAAAAAUUAAUAAUAUUUAAUUAGAAAGUAAGGGGGGGGGUAAAUAAUUACCCGAUUAAUUUAGGGUUUAAAGUAAGUUUUGGCUACAAGUUUAGGGGUGAUUCGAUAUAUUUUCUCUUAGUUAAAGUUAGAUCAUAGAUAUCAACAAUGAAUUACAAAGGAAAUAAAUAGAAAUACAAGUUUGGAUUGGGCUUUUGGCCCAUUUUUUGGUCUUUCCAGCCUUGGACUGCAUUCUUAAUGGACUCUGGGUCCAUUUUUCAGCUGUAUGCCACAUGUAUAUCAGCCUUAUUUUUUCCUGCGUUUUAUUGUAUAUAUGCUAUGUAUCCAUGUCUACAAAUCUAUGCACUUGCUCCUAAUUUUCAGUACACAUCAUAUAUGAGCAUAUACCAGCUACUUUUGACCUGUACAUCCCGUAUAUAUGACAUAUAUCAGUGUAUACCAGCAGUUGUUUUUGCACAUUAAUCCAUUUUUGACUUCAAAGAAUGGGUUGUGACCGAAGGGAUGCAAGGAUUGUCGUCCUGUGGACACGGUGAGGCAGAUUCAUCUAUAGAAAGAGAAAGAAGAACAAGCUUGAAUCACAAAUAUACUCAAAUACGCAUAUUGAAACCAAAUAGAGAUAGUUCGUCAUUAUUCUUGAUUUUAAAUAUUCAACGGGAAAACACUUUAAAGAUUCGAAGGUCUAAAGUUAAGUGAGAAGGCAAGGGCGAGGACGAGUGCACAGAGAAGAACCCGAGCUUGGAAGAGAAGUUAAUUUUUCACACAAGAUGCCUAUUCCAGUUUCUCUUCUAUUUAACCACAUGAAUUCCAAAGACAUGGGCAAGUCCUAAUACUAAUUUUUAUAAUAAGUAACAAAGCCUUGAAUAAAGCUAAAAUCAAUCCAUCUCAUAGUCAAUCAUGUACCCGCAAAAUGAUUUGUAUAUCAAUAUGCAAGCUAAUUAACACCUACUCAGGAAAGCAUGAUCUUGCAAUAUGCUCAAUAUUUACUAUAUGUCUCUGUAAUACAACCAAGAGUUGAUCAACAUGAUCAAGUAAAGAAAGCAAAACUUACCUUUUUAAGAAGAAAUUAGAGAGUAGAUAAACUAAACUUGACGUUCUUGGGAGAAACUAAUAGCUUCGUAACCCGACAUGAUCUGGACGACCAUACAGGGGCUGGAUUACGACUCAAUACAACACCAUCUACAAAACCAAAUGGUUGUUCUGAUUGCCAUCUCUGUAAGAAGACGAAGAAAAAGCAUGCUCAAGCAAACAAAGAGAUAACACCGGGCUAACAGGAAAACAUCGCUUACUAACAAAGGAUCGCAACGACAAUCUUUAGUUAACAGACUUGGCACGGGAUUCACAUUUAGAUCCUUACCAUGCCAUUCCAGCAAUCAAACCAACACCCCAGAAAGCUAAUCCGACCAAAUCAUAUUCAAACUAACAAGCCAAAUUCAAAUAAAAUCAAAUAAACAAAGAGUAAUUAAGAUGAGAAUAGGGGGAGUAUUACAUUUUUAGACGCACGAACCAGGACGACGAGAUGACAAAGAUGAAUUCAAAAUCAGAAUUUCUGGAAUUUAAAUGAAUUCAAAGGAUUUCUCGGUUAGAGGAAUGCUUCUCCAGAAUCUCUAAGUUUCCCCCCAAGAAUCACCCUUUAACUCUUGUUCUUUACUGGGUAUUUAUAGGAGAUUUUGGGACUGAUUUUGUAUGAACAAAGGGGUAUUUGAGGAAUUUCAAAAUUUGAUAUUUGAAGAUAAGGUUGGUAUAAAAAUAGACCGUUCUUACUGAACUGUUGCUGCAGCUGUUGUUUGUCGUUACUAUUGAACACCUUUGGUGUUGUUUUGCCGUUGAAGUUGUUGUGGUCGUUGAACAUUGUUGUUGUUGGUUUUGACCGUUGUAUGUUUUUCGUGUGUUGAUGUUGUUGGUCGAUUGUUGUACGUUGUUUAGUUUUGUACCGUAUCGGGUCGAGUUUUACGUUGUGUGUUGUUGUACCAAGUAGUACAUUGCUGUUAAGAGGAAGGGAUUGAAGGAUUGGGCUGUUUGGGGAGUAGGUCAGCAGAAUUGGGUUUGGGCUGGUGGACAGUUUAUGAGAUAUCUGUGAAGUGUAUUAUAAGAUAUCUUUGUGGCACUUCUAGUCUGAGUUUGUGUUUUUGUACAAGGAAGCCUAUUCUUUGUGGUUACAUUGAUUCAGAUAUGGUCGGUGAUGUUGAUACUCGCAAGUCUACUUCAGGGUAUUUGAUUACUUUUACAGGGGGGAGCUGCGUCUUGGCAAUCUAGGUUGCAAAAAUAUGUUGCUUUAUCUACUACAGAAGUUGAGCUUAUUGCUGUCGUUGAAGCUUGUAAAGAAUUGAUUUGGAUGAAGAGAUUCUUGGGGGAACUUGGUUGUGCUCAAGAGAGGUAUGUACUUCAUUGCGAUAGUCAAAUUUCCAUACAUCUUGGUAAGAAUUCUACAUUUCAUGGUCGGUCUAAACACAUUGAUAUGAGAUACCAUUUGAUUCGGGAUGUGUUGGAUUCUAAGUUUCUUGAACUUGAGAUGAUUCAUACGAAUGAUAAUGGUUCCGACAUGAUGACUAAAUCUUUGCCAAAAGGGAAGUUUGAAGAUUGUUGCAUGAUCGCCGGGAUGACGAUCUCCCCCACAUAGUCGAGAGGGGGAGAAUUGUUGGGUCAUGGGCCUUUGUCCCUUCCUAUUUGGAUAAAAUGAAGCCCAAUUUGGACCAACACAUUUUUGCCCAUAGGCCCAUUACUAUGGGGCAUAUAUAUUGAUCUUUUUAGGUCUUAUUCACCAUCACAAAAAGAGAGUUUUCAGCAGCCAAAGAGAGAAAAACAAAGCGGAUUUUCGCACCUAAAUUCCAGCCAUAGCUGUCAACUUCAAAUUGCGAUUCCCACUUCGUUUCUUGUCCGAUUGAGUUGAUUUUUGGACUGCUUGUUCCUCUCAUAUCAAUAUUUGAUUAGGAACUGAUGGAUCUUGAUUUGGUAGUCUGUAGCUCCUGUUCUUUAUUCCCGAAUAGUAGCUGCGUUUUUUAUGCUUUCACUCCUUUAUUUCUCUAGUGUUUGGUGCUGUGGUUUAUGUAUUGUUUCUUGUUGUUUGACACUUGUUUUGUGGCCAUUUUGGAGGACAAUAUUGUAACUCUUUGGUGAUUAUAGUGGAGGUUUGGUCCCGUGGUUUUUUAUUCUUCACACCGAAGGGUUUUCCACGUAAAUUUGGUGUCUUAUGUGAUUGCCUUUAUUGUUGUCCUAUCGCAUUUGUGUGCUAAUUCAUUUUCUAUCAUAUUACUUUAUUUUUCCUGGUUUUCUUGUCUCCUCUUGGUUCAAGUUGAAAGGAAAAGUUUAGUCUUGGGUAUUUUCCGCUGCUACCCCGUCUGGCUCUUUGAUUGUGUGCCCGUCUUUUCUAACAGGUAUUUAUAGGAGAUUUUGGAACUGAUUUACAGAGGGGUAUUUGAGGAAUUUCAAAAACGAGUUUCAAAAUUUGAUAUUUGAAGAUAAGGUUGGUACAAAAGUAGACCAUUCUUGCUGGACUGUUGCUGCAGCUGUUGUUUGUCGUUACUAUUGAACGCAUUUGGUGUUGUUUUGCCGUUGAAGUUGCUAUUGUCAUUGAGCAUUGUUGCUGUUGGUUUGGACCGUUGUAUGUUUUUCGUGUGUUGAUGUUGUUGGUCGAUUGUUGUACGUUGUUGGUCGAUUGUUGUACGUUGUUUGGUUUUGUACACGUAUCGGGUCGAGUUUUGCGUUGUGUAUUGUUGUACAAGUAGUACAUUGCUGUUAAGGGGAAGGGAUUGAAGGAUUAGGCCGUUUGGGGAGUGGGUCAGCAGAAUUGGGUUUGGGCUGGAGGACAGUUUUUGGGCUGAUGUGGUGAUAUUUAGUUGGGCAAAUCACGUAAUCUACAAUUUUAGAGUCUAUAUUAUAAAAUCUACCACUAGUUUCAAAUUUUCAAAUAUACCACUAAAAAAAUAACAAAACUUAUCAAAUAAGGUAAAAAAAAAAAAAAACAAUUAAAAGUAUCAAAAUUGGAUAAAGAAUAAUUGGUCUUCUUUCCUAUAAUUUCUCCUAAUAUAUUUUCAAUUCCAUAACCAAUUCCAUUUCUUUUUUAAAAAUAAAAUUAUUUUGGAAAAAAAUUUAAAAUUACUAAUAUAAAAUUAACAAACGUACACGAAAGAACAUGAAAUUUGGAACCAAAAAGAGGAGCGUGUUCUAUCAUUCACAAAUUUCUUCUUCUUAUUCUUUCCCUCUCUUUUCUAUUUGGUUUAUUUUUGUUUGCUCUUUUCUAUUUCUUCUUCUUAUUAUUAAUUAUUUACCUCUUUUUUAUUUUAUUUUUUUGAUUUUCUCGCGUGUGUUACUAGUUAACACAGAAAGAGUAUAUAGUUACCCAUUUGUAAUAGCAUGAUUUAAGGAGACAAUUUAAUGAUUGAUGUUUUAUCUUAUAAAUUCUUCUACUUUAUUUUUCAACUAAAUUUUCUUUUAAAAAAUAGUAAAUAAGAUAAUGGAAAAAACAAUACAUUUAUUUGAUAUUUUUUGAUGUUUUUAUAUUUAAUUUAUUUAAUUCAAUGAACAUUGAUUUUUAUUACUUCUAAGAAAAACAUCAUUAAUGGUAGUAAAUUCUCCGAUUGAUUCAAACCACAUCUUAUACAAAUUUCAUACAUCAUAAAUUUAUUAAUAACCCAUAAAAUUAUUAAUAAACUUCUUUCUAUAUCGAUCAUACAUUAUAAAAAUAGAUCAAUUUCUAUACAUUUUAGACACCAUAAAAUUAUUGAUACACCAAUUUCUAUAUAUUUCAGAUACUAUAAAAUUAUUAUUAUUAUUGAUACACCUAUUUCUUAAGAAUUCAAACACUAUAAAAUUAUUGAUACACCAAUUUCUAAGACACCUUAAAAUAAAAUUGAUGAUAUACCAAUUUCUAUAUAAUUUAGACACCAUAAAAUUAUUAAUAUAUCAAUUUCUAACUAUUUUAAAAAUAAUAAAAUUAUUGAUAUACCAUUUUUUAUACAAUUCAGACACCAUAAAGCAGUUGAUACACCAGUUUCAAUACAAUUCAGACACCAUAAAGCUAGUGAUACACCAAUUUUUAUAUAAUUCAUACAUCAAUUUCUAUACAAUUCAUGCACCAUAAAAUUAUAGAUCACCAAUUUCUAUACAAUUCAUGCACCAUAAAAUUAUAGAUACACCAAUUUCUAUACAAUUCAUGCACCAAAAAAUUAUAAAUACACCAAUUUUUAUAUAAUUCAUGCACCAUAAAAUUAUAAAUACACUAAUUUCUAUACAAUUCAUGCACCAUUAAAUUAUUGAUAUCCUGCCCCCUUGAUGUCAUCGGACAAUUCUCUAAACUCAUCGAGACUACCCGACGAUCUAAUCUGAUUGACCUAUUUAUUUUCAAUACUCUUUCUUUCCAACACCGCAUAAGUACAAGAACAAUCAGUAGAAAUAAACAUUCAAAAAAAAUUCAAAAUCUCCAUCGAAAAUCAUAUUCACUCCCCAUAAAAUUAUUGAUUCACCAAUUUCUAACUAUUUCAAACACCAUUAAACCGUUAAUACACCAAUCUCUAUAAAGUUCAAACACCAUAAUAUUUUUUGAGUGAAUUUAUGAAGGAGUAACCGGGAACGGAGUUGAGGUUUCGGGAGGAGGAAGAGAUAACGUGGCUAGUGGAAUGGGGGAAGUAAUAGGAGGAAGAGAAGAUGUAGAAAAAGACAAUGAGAGCGUGAAAGGCGAGGAGAAAAAACAGUAGGGAAUACCUUGCCUUUUUUGAUAUCUGCAUCACUCAUUCACUGCUCAACAACACAGAUGGCAAUGGCCAAAGAAUAUAUUUUGGAAGUUGGAAAGAGAAAUAUAUAGGAAAUUGGAAGAUUAAAUUGAAGAAUCCGGAGUGAAUUAUUAGUGCGAAUAACAAGAAAGUUUUUUUCCAUAAUUUUCGAAUAGCAAGCAAUUUUAAAAACUCAAAAAACUGUUUUUAUAGUGGAUGAUAGAUUUUGUAAAUAAAAACUACCUUUUGUAAAUAAAAAAUAAUAGUGAUAGUUUUUGUAAUAUUGAUGCUUAAAUUGUAUAUUCAUGUGAUUUUUCCUAUUUUUCUAUUUAGUAAUAUGGGUCAAAUUUUGGGUAGAUUAUGUACUUUCUGAGGUUAUUUAAAUAAUAACUCCAAUUAGUUUAGGAGGUAACCACUUUUAUUUAAUUUUCGAUCAAAUGAAAAAUCAAUUGGCCAAUUGCAUUGUAAUUUUGGUCGAUUUGAUUUCAGUUAUGAUCAAAUUUAAUAAAUUGACUAAAUUCAAUUAAAAUUCGAUAUGAAUUAAUACCUCAUUUAAUCCCGAGCUUCUUGAUUUAAUAAAAAUCAAAUAAAGAUUUUUCCAAAUAAAUUAUUUUCAAAAAUAAAUUAUAUUUAAAUCAAGAUUUUAAUCAUUUGAAUUUAUUUUCAAGAUAAGCCUUGAUUAAAAUUCGAUAUUACAUAAACUAAAUAGUUAAGUAAGAAAAAUUAUAUAAUUUUGUAUAUUUAAAUACGAUAAUAUAUAAUUGCUACUUCAAAUGAAAAAUUAUCCAUAUAAAUACUUUGAAAAGCUUUUAUUCGAAUAAAAUAAAUAUUAUAAUUUUAUUUAAAAUUGAAGAAACUCAAAAUUAAAUUUAGUUGUGGAGGACAAAAAUUAGGUGUCAACAUCAACUCCAAUACUGGCUGUACCAUGGGGAAAAACUCAUGGUCCUCAAAGCAUGGUAAGUUGCAGUCAUAGGCAUUAAUGUUUCCCUUAUAGAGGAGAAUCUCUAGAGUCCCAUAAUAUUUUUUUCCCAUGUUCAUGACUACAAGAAUUCUUUUUGCCCCGAUCCAACUCAUGUUGUAUGGAAAUGACUUCUUUCCUCUAACAUAGUUAAUCAUAUUUUGAUCCCAUUUGAACUGUGAAAUUAACGUCUCAAGAUCUAGGCCACCGGAAGGGUUCGCUUUGGUACAAAUUAUUUCAUACCUACUCUUGAAGUAAUUGUAGAAAUUGAGGUCCAUUAUCCUAUUGGAAGGAUCAUAUGCUUUGCUGUACACGAGGUGUCUUGCCCUUAUGAGGCAGAGAAUUUCAUCAACAUGCUGUUAUAUAAGAAGAUAAUUUUUAAAUAGGUUAGUAAUUUUUUUUUAAAAAACCGAAAUGAUGAAAUGGAUUGCCCAUCUGUUGAAGAAGAUGGGUAAUAUGUUGCAACAGAUAGUCGACCUGUUGCAUAGGUUCUCUGAAUCUAUGAACAGAUUAGCCAUAUUUUGCGACUUAUGCAACAGAUGGACCACUUAUUGCAAUAGAUGAAUCAUCGCUUCUCUGAACCUGUGUUAACAGAUUAUCCAAUCUACUGCAUAUUUAUGCAGCAGACAGGUAAUCUGUUAAAAAAGUUGACUUAGAAGGUUAGGUUAUUAAAAGUAAAAACUUACCCUGUCCUCGUACAACUCAUACAUAUUUGUCAUCAUCUUGAAUUCUUCGGAGGAAAGUAGAUUUAUCAUGAAACACGUUGCAGGUUUCUUGGAAUUCUUGUGGUUUCUCAGAGUCAAUAGCCUGUUAGUGCCAAUGGUUAUGUAUAUGUCCACCUUCCUCAAUGGUACCUGAACUUUAUCAACAUUUGAUGGAGGAGGAUUUGCAUUUUUUCGUGAUUUCCUAUUUGAGAGUAUACAUCCAAUUAAUUUUUUCUUCUUCCUAACCUCCUAUGUAGGAGUGUAUGGCUCUCUCACCUUUUUAGAUGGUAUAACACCCCUCUUGGAUUUCAAUUCAUUGAAGACAUCAAUUAGAUCAUCUAUUUUUAUUAAACAGCUCAUUUUGUCUGCCUAAGCAAUUUUUGCAUUUGCAAAGAGAACAUGAGCUUGAGGAAGGGUGAGAUUGGCCACUGGGAAAUCAUCAUCUGCUAGAAGGUUAAUUUUCAUUUCAGACAUAUUUAUUUUUGCUUGAGCACCCGCAACAUGCUCAUCCACAUGGCUGCCACCAACAUCAAUAUUUCCACCAGCAAGACCCUACAAAUAACAACCAAAUCUGUUACAAUAGGUUGGUCAUGAAGAGCCUCAACAUGACGCUGAGCUUGCCUAACUGCUCUUCUUAUGGCCAUUGUUCCAGCCAAUUUCUUCUUUAUUAAAUCCUCCAUUGGGUCUUCUAUUGUAUAAAUGAGACCUAGAUUAAUAAAAGAAUUUAUCCCCAACUCUUGUUAAGUAGGUACAAUCCAUGGAUGCACAACUUAUAAAUAAAAGUAGAUACGUUUAAACCAAACAUUAAUUUACAGUCAGUUGGGUAAUAUGCUAACAUAGACAACUUAUGCAAAAAAUGAUCUUUUUGUUACAAUAGAUGGUUCAUCUUUUGCAAUAAUUUAACCAUUUGUUGCAUCAGAUUACCCAUCUAUUGCAUAAGUUACAGCAGAUGAGUAAUCUGUUGUAAAAGAUGACUCAUCUGUAGUAACAGAUUACCCAUCUGUUGACUAUUGCUGUAGAAGAAUAAUCUGUUAAGACAAAUUAUAACAGAUAUUUCAUCUGUUGCAACAGAUGUCCUAUCUGUUUUAAUAUCUUCCUUUGAGUCAAAUUAUUGUACUUGAAAGAAGACUUACUGCAUCAUCCGGAGGGUUAAAGAGAUCAACCUCUUUAAUUUUUGUGUUGCUCUUUCAGCCAACCACCUAAGGAUCCUUAGAUAAGAAACCUCAUCCAGGUAAUCCUUGACCUUCUUUCGAAGGUGAAAAAUGACUUCAAAUUCCUAAACCUAAAAAAUGUAAAUAGGAAGCAAACAAAAAAAGUCAUAAUAAUUAUUUAAUAUAAAUUAAUGCAAGAGUAAUCAAAUAGUAAUUAAAUUUACCAUGAAAGCCUACGAAAAGCUGUAUAAGCUGAUUGUCUUUGAGGGAUAGUUUUGUCAAUAAAUAUUUGAUAGUCAACUUGUAGCUGUCAUAUCCUUAGGGAUAAAUGUUGAAUUCAUCCAAAUCUUGAGCAAGCACCAACAAAUCAUCUUUUAUGACUUUGUUGAAGUCUCUUGCCAGUAUAAUGAAAUGGGCAAAUAAAACUAAGCACAAUUGAUUCCUAUAGUUCUUUGGUAUGUCUUUAUUCUUGAGAUCUUUUAUCAGCGUCUGGGCUUUGUAGCCAUGUCCAGCAAUGUCUAGCAACCCUUAUAUUUUUUUGUUGCCUUUGUUGGUUUUUGUGGGUGGUCGCUUGGACAAUGUCUUGCCUUUAUUUGAUGGUGGUGGUUUGGAUGUCUUGGUUAUCUUGGACUUUUUGCUGGGUUUUUCCUUGAUGAGAGGUUCUUCUGGCUGAUGGCAUCUCAAGCCAGUCAUUAUGGCAAACUUCUUUAUGCCAAAACAAACCAGCAUGCCACAAUAGUUAAUCUAGAUUUCAUCCUUCUUUUUGUCCCUCUCCUUCCAAUCUUUAUCAUCACCCACGUACAUGAUCUCGCACUUGAGAAGACUAUAUACCAUGCUCAUUUGAAAGCGGGCAUUGUUGUCCUCAGGCAGGUUAAGAAAGCAUCCAAAGCAGCUGGACCUAAAAAAAUCCUUUAGUUUUUCCUUUCUUAUAAUAUUCCUAAAAUCAUCAAAAUGUUUUCCUAUAACAAAUUUAACUACAAAAUCACCGGUUAAAUCUGUAGGGUUAUCUAUCUGCAUCUCAACUAGAAACCUGUCAAUACUAAUAGUUUUGACAGGAUCAUGCUAGGUUUUCGAUCUUAAUUCACUUCCCACUGAUGAUGCAUUAUCAUCAUCUUUCUCGUUCUCCUUGGAAGAUCCAUCUUCUUCCUCACUUUGUAUUUCCUCAUCUUCUUCUUUAUCUUCAUUUUCUUCCUGCUAACUUUUAUUUUCCCCACCAUCCUCGACAAAACCUUCUCCACCUCCCUCAACAUUAUUUUCCUUAGCUUCACCAUUUUCCUCAAUUUUGUUUUUAUACCUUUUCUUAGCGUUACUUUUUUCUGAAAUAGAUUGUCCAGGAAGCUUCUCCGAAUCCAUAUGUACUAUAGCCUUUUUUGUUAGCUGGUCAGAAGUUGAUCCACUUUCACUUUCUUUUCUUUUGAGAGACAUAUUUUACCUAUAAACAAGAGAAAAGUAAAAAAAAAAUAAAAUUGAUGUCUGCAUAAUUUUUUUUUUAAAAAUAUAAUAUAAAAUUCAAUAAACACAACACACUACAAACAAGUAUUCCAACAGAUGACCCAUCUGUUGCAACAAAUUAAUAACUUGUUGUAACAGAUGGGCUUCUGCUAGAAGAAAUCAAAAUAGUGUUGCUACUGAUAUAUUCUUCCAACAUCAGAUAUAUUUGCUGCAACAGAUGGUUAAUAUGUUAGAAGAGCUAUUUUUUUUAUUCCAACAGCUGAUACACCUGUUGAAACAGAUGGAGAAUCUGUUUGAAGACCUAUUUUAAUAUCUUCCAACAGAUGUUCCACCAGUUGCAAUAGGCCGGUCAUCUCUUGGAAGUUAUCAAAAUUGGUAGCAGUUUUGUUUUGAUAACUUCCAAUAGAUUACCUAUAUUUUGCAAUGGAUGGUCAUAUGUUGGAUGAAAUUGAAUCAGGUCUUCCACAUUUUCAUCAGAUGUAUAAUUUAUUGGGUGAUACAACACCCCCCCCCCCACCACCACCUAUACUACUACCAACACCAACACCAACACCACUAAUAUCAAUACCACCGAUACCAACACCAAUACUACCAAUACUAACACCACCAACACCACCAAUAUCAACACUACCGACACCACCACCAAUACCAACACCACUAACACCACUAAUACCAACACCACCAAUACCACCAUCGACACUACCACCAAUACCAAUACCAACACUACCUCCACCACCACCACCAAUACCACCACCUACAUCACCACCAACACUACCAAUACCAACACCAACACCACCAAUACUAAUACCACCAAUACCAACACCACCAAUACCAACACUAACACUAUCAAUACCACCACCACCACCACCACUACCACCACCACUACCAACACUAAUACCACCAUCAGUACCACCACCAACACCAUCAAUACCACCACCACCACCAAUACUAACACCACCACCACCACCACCGAUACAAAUACCAACACCAUUACCAACACCAAUAAUAUGAACACCAUCACCAAUACCUACACCACCAAUACCAACACCAUCACCAACACCAACACCAACACCACCAAUACCAUCAAUACCAACAUCAUCACCAUAACCACUACCACCAACACCAAAAAUAUAAACAACAUCAACAAAAUAAAAACAAAUAACAAAACCAAUAUCAAAUAAAACAAACAAACACCACCACCAACAGCCACCAACACCACCACAUACACCAUCUAACAAUACCACAACAGUCAACAUAAUACUGCAAUAAAAAUUAGAGUUUUCUCAGGUUCUUCCUACAUUUUUUAGCAUCAAAACUCAAAAUUAUUAAUUCAUUCUCAAAGAUAAUACAACUAAAAGUCUUUUUCAUUAUUAACUAAAAAGUCCUAAUUUUUUAAAAAUAUAACAAAUGUAGAACUCUUCUCGAACUCUGUUACCUGUGAAGAGAGAGAAAACGAUGGAUACAAGAAAGAAAAAAAUUAAAAAUAACAACUAUGUGGUCGAAAAAUGGAAAGAAAAUCGAUCUGUUGUGAAUAAAUGAUCAAUCUGUUGAGUAGUUAUUGUUUGUAAUUCCAACAGAAUGGAGCAUGCGAUGCACCUUAUAUUCCAUAGGAAUAGACCAUGCAACGCAUGCUUAUCGCACGCUUUCACUGAAAUUAGAGGUACAAGCAUCACUAUAUCCAUAUCGAUGAAUCAAUACAAGAGCUUAGACUAGGCUAGUUCAUGUUGAUCUUUCAAUUAUUGUUCCGCUUCCACACUUAGUCAAAUUAAACUUUACCCAUCACCAAUAAGUUAUUCCAUUAAUAAUCACACAUCAAAACCAUAAGGAGCAAGUUGAACCCAAUAGAAUCCAUCAAGAUAGACUAGACAAGUGACUAGCUCAAGCUAGAAGAACUAAUUUUCUUAAUUAAACUCUAUUAAGUACAAACUUGUUGGAAAACACUUGUAACCAUUAUAAACACGUCCUUUGACACUUGUAUUCACAUUUAUCUAAUUAUCAACUCAUAUAGCCUAGAAUCAUCCUCAAAACAAGGCUUAAAAGACUAGAAUAGUGACACUAGAGUGCAUAAAUACACCCAACAUCAUUUGUAUUGUUGAGAGAGAAAGAGAAGAGUGAUAACUCAAGAUUUAUAAUAAUAAAAUAUUUUUCCCACAACUGGAUGACUUAGAUGAGUUGAUUUGUAUUUUGUAAAAGAAUGAAAACUUUUGAAUAUAUUAAUUUGGUCUGAAUUGAUCUUAAUUAAUUUUUUAAAAGAGAUAAAUUUUAACUAUUUCAUAAUAAAUAAAAUUAAUUUCACUAAAAUUAGUUUUCAGUUAUUAAGUUCAAUUGAAACUUUGAUGAAUUCAAUAUUAACUCAAUAAUAAUUUAAUAUUAAUUAAAAUAAAUAAAAAUAUUUGUUCCAACAUAUUACUCAUCUAUGACAAGAGUUGAAUAAUAUGUUGGAAAUGACCAAACAGAUACAUCAUUUAUUGCAACAUAUAAUAUUAUUUAUUUGGUCAUUUCCAACAGAUGAAAUAGUUGUUGCAAUAGGUUGAAUCUAUUGCGAUACAUUACCAAUAGUUGAUCAUGUAACUACAAUGAGAUCAAUUGAAAUUGUAGUUAAAAUUAUGAACUCAUACUUAAUUCUAGCUAAAUCAAUUUAGAUAUUUCAAAUAAUGGCUUGAUAUGAAUCAUUUCAAUUCAAUUUGAUAAAUUGAUGACUCUGGUCAGGACAAACACAAUAGUUGAUCAUGUAAUUACAACGACAUCAAUUGAAAUUGUAAUUGAACUUAUAAACUCAUCCUUAAUUAUAGAUAAAUCAAUUUUGAUCUUUUAAAUACUGGCUUGAUAUGAAAUAUUUCAACUCAAAUUGAUCUAUUGAUGACUCUGGUCAGGGCGAACACAAUAGUUGAUCAUGUAAUUGCAGUGACAUCAAUUGAAAUUGUAGUUGAACUUAUGAGAUCAUCCUUAAUUAUAGCUAAAUCAAUUUAGAUAUUACACAUAAUGACUUGAUAUGAAUUAUUUCAACUCAAAUUGAUCAAUUGAUGACUCUGGUCAGGACGAACACAAUAGUUGAUCAUGUAAUUGCAAUGAGAUCAAUUGAAAUUGUAAUUAAACUUAUCAACUCAUACUUAAUUAUAUCUAAUUAUAGCUAAAUAAAUUUAUAUAUUUCAAAUAAUGGCUUGAUAUGAAUCAUUUGAAUUCAAAUUGAUCAAUUAUUGGCUCUGUUCAGAACGAACAUAAUCGUUGAUCAUGUAACUGCAAUGAGAUCAGUUGAAAAUGUAGUUAAAUUUAUGAAAUCAUACUUAAUUAUAGAUAAAUAAAUUUAUAUAUUUCAAAUAAUGGCUUGAUGUGAAUUAUUUCAACUCAAAUUGAUCAAUUGAUGACUUUGGUCAGGACGAACACAAUAGUUGAUCAUUUAAUUACAACAAUGUCAAUUGAAAUUGUAAUUGAACUUAUGAAAUCAUUCUUAAUUAUAGCUAAAUUAAUUUAGAUAUUACAAACAGUGUCUUGAUAUGAAUCAUUUGAAUUCAAAUUGAUCAAUUGAUGACUCUGAUCAGGACGAACACAAUAGUUGAUCAUGUAAUUACAACGACAUUAAUUAAAAUUGUAAUUGAACUUAUCAACUCAUCCUUAAUUAUAGAUAAAUUAAUUUUUAUAUUUCAAAUAAUAACUUGAUGUGAAUCAUUUCAACUCAAAUUGAUCAAUUGAUGACUCUGGUCAGGACGAACACAAUAGUUGAUCAUGUAAUUGCAAUGAGGUCAAUUGAAAUUGUAGUUAAACUUAUGAAAUCACUCAUAAUUCUAGAUAAAUUAAUUUUAAUAUUACAAAUAAUGUCUUGAUAUGAAUCAUUUAAACUCAAAUUGAUCAAUUGAUGACUCUAGUCAAGACAAACAAAAUAGUUGAUCAUGUAAUUGCAAUGACAUUAAUUGAAAUUGUAAUUGAACUUAUCAACUCAUCCUUAAUUAUAGAUAAAUAAAUUUUGAUAUUUUAAAUAAUGGCUUGAUAUGAAUCAUUUCAACUCAAAUUGAUCAAUUGAUGACUCUGGUUGGAACGAGCACAAUAGUUGAUUUUGUAAUUGCAAUGACAUCAAUUGAAAUUGUAGUUUAACUUAUAAACUCAUCCUUAAUUAUAGCUAAAUCAAUUUAGAUAUUAUAAAUAAUGGCUUGAUAUGAAUCAUUUGAACUCAAAUUGAUCAAUUGAUGACUCUGGUCAGGACGAACACAAUAGUUGAUCAUGUAAUUGUAAGGACAUCAAUUGAAAUUGCAAUUGAACUUAUCAACUUAUCAUUAAUUAUAGCUAAAUCAAUUUAGAUAUUUUAAAUAAUAGUUUGAUUUGAAUAAAUAGAGGACUAACCUGUUGCAACCGUUGGCACAUCUGUUGAAAAGUAUCAAAUAAUUAUAGACAUCUAUUAAAAUAUAUGUUAUUGCAAUAGAUUACUUAUCUGUUGGAAAAUAUCAAAUAGAUAUUGACAUAUGUUGCAGCAGAUGACUUAUCUGAUAGAAAUUAUCUCAUAGAUAUUGCCAUUUGUUACGAUAGAUGAUAGAUCUGUUGGAAAUUAUCAAAUAGAUAUUGACAUUUGUUGCAACAUAUUACUUAUCUGUUGGAAAUUUUCAAACAGAUGUAGACAUCUGUCGUAAUAGAUGACUUAUCUGUUUUAAGAUCAUUUUUAUUUCAAAGCAAUUUUUCUCUAAAAUAAAAAAAAGAAAAAAUACUAAGGAGAUCAAACAUUUUUUUGGAUAACUCAAAAGUCUCCUCCUUGUAUUGUCUUAUCUUGUCUUUCCAAUGUCAUCGUCCGUAUUCUCUUUCUCCUCAAAGCGUUUCACCAUCAUAAAUUAACAAAUAUCUAAACCUAUUUCUAAAAUUUUCUCUCCUUCAACCAUAAAAUAAUUCAUCUCUCUUCUUUCUCUUCUUAACCAAUCUAUAUCUUUUCUUGCUUUAAAUUAGUGUUUUAAUCCCUCUGCUUUUGACAUGGUAGGUAUGGUUCACUAUUAGAUCUGCGUUCUCUGCUAUUAUUCUGUCUUCUCAUCUUCUUCUUGCCCGUUUCAUCAAAUUUUUCAUGUUUUCUUUGAUGUAAAUUGAAAUUGUGUACAUCAUAUUCUUAAAUUGGUUAUUUGAAUUAUUUAUUUACAUAUGUUGUUUUAAUUUAUUUAUCCAUUCCCUAUAUCUUAUUUAUUGAGAAAAUUGAAGAAAAAUGUCAUUUAAGUCUUAAAUGAACAAACCGUUGUUUUUAUUAAAUAAUCAAAAAAAGUUAUGACCCUUGAGUUAUUCCAACAGAUGGUUCAUUUGUUGCAACAGAUUGGUAUCUAUUUGAAGAACUCAAAACCUGGAUUGCUUUCUUCCAACAGAUGGCCUAUCUGUUGUAACAGAUUGAUCAAAUAUUGAGAGAACUUUAAAAGCCUUGUUGGCAGUAUCAGUGUUGUCUGUUUAUUUUUUUUUAUUUCUUUAGUAUUGAUGUUGUUGUUGGUUUUUUUGGUGUUGGUGUUGUAACAGGUGGAACAUAUGGUGGAGGAUAUUAAAAUAAGUCUUUCAAUAGAUUUUCCAUCUGUUGCAACUGAUGAAUCAACUAUCAGAAUAAAUAAAAAAAACUCUUCCAACAUAUGACUUAUCUAUUGUAAUAGAUGGAGCACCUGUUGGAAGAAAUCAAACCAAUAGCAAGACUGGUUUGAUUUCUUCCAACAGAUGACCCAUUUGUUACAACAUGAUGGUCAUAUAUGGCAACAGAUGGAUCAUUUGUUGGAUUUAUUGUUGUAAUAUGUUGUAUUUAUUAUAUUUUGUGUUACCCUUUUUAAAAAUUAUACAGACAUCAAUUGUAAUAUUUUUGGUUUUUCUCUUAUCUAUAGAUAAAAGAUGUCUCCCAGAAGAAAAGAAAGUGAAAGAGUACUAACUUUUUCCCGACCAACAUAAAAGGCUAAAGUAAAGAUGAGUUUGGAGGAAUAAGCUCCUUGCAGAUGGAACUACUUCAUAUGUGAGAGGUAUGUAUUACUAAUUAUGUUAUCGUGAAAACACACAUAGAGUAUAGUAAUUUUGUGAAUGUUGAUUUUUACAGAUUAGGCAUUGAUCAUUCAAACAAGAUAUUGCAUUUUACAGUUAAGUCUGAUAGGUCUGAACUGAUAAGGCUACGGGACCUAGUAGGUAGUGUCGAUACCCUGUUAUGGUUUAAUGAUAGUUUUGCUAAUGUUUAUGUGUCAAGUUUGGAGAAGGGAUCAAGUUUUGGUCUUAGUUUAAAGAUUUAAUAGUGAUGGACUGAUUUUAAGGGUUCAAUGGACUUUUGAAAGGCCUCCGAAGCCUCGCACUACUGUAAAAAAAAGAAUGGAAAUCAAUAUAGUUAUUAUUUUGGUCCAAAUUUAUAUGGCCGGGUUACUCGGGGUGAUGAUUAUACAACAGAAGGUGCUUGUGAGAAUAUCUGUGAGGAAAAGGGGAGGUACUAAAGACUAUAUCAACUUAGACCUUAUUAAAGAAGAAACAUACAAGGAACGUGAAGCGAAUUUAGCCAAUAAAACUGACAUAAAAAUAAAAAAACUGAAUGAGCUACAAAAAUGAAAGUGUAUUCGAAAAUGAAAAUCCAUCACUCAUUGUUGAAAAAAAUGGUGAAGUGGACUGGAGCUGUGCACUUUGCUAGGUAACUACGACUAGUUAGCGUGCUCUGAAUGAUCACCUCCAAAGAAAAGAAUAGAACUCCAAAAAAGUAGAUUUGCAAGCACCGAGGGUUGGAAAUAUGUACAGUCAAGAAUGAAAGUUGCACCAAGAACUACUGAAGUUAAAAUAAGGGAUCAAGCUAAGACGAUAAUUUCUGAUGUUAAACCUGCAUCCUAGGCCUUCUGUUUGUGGUUCUGGUCACGUCAACUUUAGAGGAAACAAAAGGGCAUGGGAUUUCUGCCUAAAUUCAGACCUUUUGAUUUCCACUACUAUUGACUUGAUUAGAACCACAAAUAGAAGGCAUGGGAUGCAAGUUAAACUUCAAAAAUUGUCUCCUUGGCUUGAUCCCUUAUUUUAGCUUCAAUAGUUCUUGGUGCAAGUUUCAUUCUUGACUGUACAUCUUUCCAACCCUCGGUGAUUGCAAAGUUACUUCCUUGGAGUUCUGUUCCUUUUUUUGGAUGUGAUCAUUCAGGCCACGCUAACUAGUCAUAGUUACCUAGCAAAGUGUACAACUCUAGUCCACUUUAAAAAUUUUCUUUUCAACAACCACUGACGAAAUUUUAUUUUUGGAUACACUUUCAUAUUUGCAACUCAUUUAGAAUUUUCAUCUUUCAAGUCAAUUUCAUUAGCCAGAUACGCUAGAAGUUCCUUGCUUGCUACCCUAUGUUUCUUUUUUAAUAAGGUCAGAGAUGAUAUAGUCUUCAAUAAUUCCCUUCCCCCCCCACAGAUAUUCUCUUACAACAUAUUCUAUUGUAUAAUCAUCUCCCCUAGCAACCCAUCCAUAUAAAUUUGGACCAGGGAAAUUUCUAUUGAUUUUUCAUUUUUAUUUGAUGCACUGGGAGACUUCAAAGGCCUUUUCAAACUCCAUUGCUCCAUUAAAACCAGUCAAAUCAAUAUUAAAUCUUUACACUGCCAUCAAAUAUUGAUCCCUUCUCAAAACUUAAUGUAUAAACAUGAGCAAAACUGUCAUUAAAUUGUAAUAGAGUAUCGAUGUCACCUUCUUGGUCCAUUUGGCCUUAUCAAUUUGCACAUAUCAAACUUAACUGUAAAAUGCAGGAUCUUGUUUGAAUGAUCAAUGCCUAAUCAGUAAAAAACUGCAUUCACAAAAUCAUUGUACUUUAUGUUUGCUUUCACGAUAACCUGAUUAGUAAUAUAUAACUCCCAUGCAUGAAAGUGGAUCCAUCCAUUUGCAUGCACCUUAUUCUUCCUACCUCAUCAAUGUCAAAUAGUGUUUAAUCUUUAGUUCCCAUCAUGAAGUAGUGUACAAGACUACGGAGGCUCAAAAGGUAACCAUCUUUAAAACCUUUCUUCUUAAUCUUCUGGGAAGGGUAACAACAAUCUCAAAAACUAAAAACCUGAUUAAGAGAAACCCUUGCUACUACUGGAUUGAUUUCUUCCAACAGAUGACCCAUCUGUUGCAUUAAAUGAAAAAUCUAUUGGACUACAUGCUCGUCAAGAAAAAAUAAGUGCUCUGUAUGUAAGAAAGCUAGCCACAAAAGAACUACAUGCCCAGAUCGUAAUGCACCAUGAUUGUUGUAAUAGAAAAAUUGUGUUGUUGUUUGUUGUGAACUUUGAUAAUUUUAACUCAUUGUUGGAAAUGUAAAUGUUAUUAUUUAUUAAAUAAAAAAAUAUAUUUUUAUUAACUUGUGCAUCAAUAAAAAGAAGUAGCAGUAACUAAAUACAAUAGACUACAAUAAGUAUUUUCCGCAAAUUAUCCAUCUGUUAUAAUAGAUAGAUAUUUGCUGGAAGAACACAACACAGUUCAUCAAUCUAGAUUGUGUUCAACCAAUAGAUGACCAAUCUGUUGCAACAGAUGAGUAAUAUAAUGAAAAAACUCAAAACCCUUGCUACUUGAGUGUGUUCUCCCAACUGAUAGCACAUCUGUUGCAACAAGUCUACUGGAAGAACACAAUACAAUUUUUGCCACUAGUUUGUGUUCUUCCAACAGAUGACCAAUCUAUUUCAACAAAUGGUCCAUCUUUUAAAAGAACUGACUAAAAAUGGUUAUUAAUAAAAAAUGACUAUUGAAAAGGUAAAAUGUCAUGACUUUUUGAUUAUUGAAUAAAGAAAAAUAGUUCAUAAAUAAAUAAUAAGGAAAUAAAUGAUAAACACAAUUUAAAACUGUAAAAAAUAGUUAUUUAUUUUAAAUAACUAAUGUUAAAGGUGAAAAGUCAUAACUUCAACUUUUUUGUUUUUAAUAUAAAUAAUAAAAAAUUCACCAGUUUAAAUUAAUUAAGAAAUAUAAUUAUUAAAAAGAGGUGAACAGUCUUGUCUUUUUGUCUAACAUAUUUAAACAACUGAUGAAUCAGAUUUCUGUCUGUUGCAAUUGAUAAAUCAUCUAUUGGAAGAAAUCAAAAUUGCUCUUCCAACGGAUGGUCCAUUUGUUGGAAGAACUCAAUAAAAAUGGUUAUUAUUAAAAAAAUAUAGUUAUUGAAAUUGAUAAGUCAUGACUUUUCACCAGUUUGAUUUAAAUAAUUAAAAAGUCACCAGUUUGAUUUAAUUGAGGCAUGUAAUUAAUAAAAUGGAGGUGAACAGUCGUGACUUUUUACCUAACAUAUUUAAAUUCAUUCCUCUAUAAAAAGAUCCCUCCUUACUUGUUCAGUCUACUCUACUUUAUUUAUUUCUUGCAUUUUGUCUUUCCUAAAAACACCAUUACAUCUUCAACCACUUCUCUUCAAAGAGUAAACUCCUUUUUCGUCUGUUGAGGUAUAUUUUUUUUUUUUUUUGUAAAACUACCAGUUGAUAGUAUACAUUGUAUUACAUUUGGACUCUUUUCUUUUCUUUAGUGUUUUACGUUUUUUGUUAAUGGAUAUGUGUACUUGAUAUGGCUGAUCCGGUUUGGGACAUGGCAAUUCUGUGCGACACCAUGCGGGAACUUUAAAUGCAGGUUAAUGAACUCCAGUAGAAGUUGGGCGUCAUGAGAGCAAGGAUGGUUUGUGAGAUUCAAAGGCAGAGGAGGGCCUUGUUACUGCCGGUUGACGAUUGGCCGGUUGACAAUAAUAUUAUUAUUAAUAAUAAUAAUAAUUAGGUUAUAUUUUUUCUUUUAGCGAAUUUUUUUUCUUGAUUUAUAUCGUAUCUACCUAAACCUAAUGUAAUGUAUGUUUUGAUUUAUUUUGUUUUAUAUUUUUGUAUGUAAUGAAUGAAAAAAAUCUAUGUUGGUCUGACUUUGACUUUAUUUCUUAUUUAAUUUUCAUUCUGUCUAUUACUUUUUCUUAGUAUGUUGAGGGUUGGAGGUAGGUUUGAGCUUUUGACACAAUUUUGAAUCUCGUAGCAAUAGCAAGAGUUUUGAGUUCUUCGAACAGAUGGACCAUCUAUUGAAACAAAUUGGUCAUCUAUUACAAGAACACAAACCAGUGGCAAGAACUGUAUUGUGUUCUUCCAGCAGAUCUGUUGCAAUAGAUGUGCCAUCUGUUGGAAGAAAACACUCCUUCUUACAUACGAAACACUUAUUUUUUCUUGAUGGAAAUGAUUCUCCGACUCCACGCCUUCUCUUAUAUCACCUUUUUCCCGAUUUGAUAGUGCUUGGGUCAAUAUACGAAGGAGGUAUUAUUCUCCCUAAAAUCUCUACAGGAACAACUCAAGAUUCUUCAAGAGGCACUAGAUUAAUAUUCUCUCUAUAUGCCAUUAUAUAUUUUUCCACCGAAUAAUAUAGAGAUGAGCAGUCAUAAAUUUAAGUUUCAUAUGUGCACCAUAUUGGGCUCGAAGUCCUACCAUAGCAUAUGGACAAGGUAUUCUGUCCAAGUCAAGAACUCUACAUACACAAGAUCUUCUUUGAAGAUUGACCAUGACAAUAUCACCAUGACCAUCAAUACUGAACUUGUAAUCUACUAUGUGAUGAGUAAAAUAACAUAUUCCCCAAAUUGAUGUCCGUUGAUAUUUGUUUUUACGCUUCUAAAACAAAUCUGUUUCUUGUGUUCGCGAACUGCAUAUGCCUUUCAUAAAAUAAUUUGGCAUACUUUUUGUUUAUUUAUCAAAUAGCGCCAUAAUGGAAAAUUCUCUUUCAACGCCAAAUAAUAAAUUUUGCUGAUUCAACUAUAUUUGAAGUCAUAAUAUUAUACCUAUACAAAAAAAUACUUAAUAUGACAUCAUACAAUAUUACAAACUUGUAACUCAAACAAGACAUUAAAUUUAUAACAAUGUACCUAUUUAUUGGACAAAAUGUCUGGCUCCAUCUCUUGAAACUGACACAUUUGAGAUGUUGUGUUGCCUUGGUGAUGUAUCUCUUAUUUGACUGAAAUGAUAAAAAAACUCAGCUAUAACAUAUGCUUUAGUUUCUCUAUAAAAAAGAGACAUGACCCUUUCAUUGAGAAUGUUUUGAAUAUUUUCUCCAAGAUGCCUCAUGCAACAACCAAAGUGAGUUGAAGUGUAAAAAAAUUGAACCCAUCUUUGGAAUACUUGGAUGUCUAUCUGAAAUAAUGCACAACUCUUCUGUAUAUUUGACACAGCUACACAUUUAUGCAAAAAUAUCCAUACGAGAUAUCAAAUUCUUUGGUCACUACACAAAAAGAGUCAGAAAAAAUGUGACUCUCCGCAUCCCGUGCCACCGCCGAUAGUAAAACUCCUCCAUACUUGCUCAUCAAGAAAGUAUCGUCGAUGGCUAUGACUUUUCUCAACUGUUGAAAACCAAGAAUCCAAGCACCAUAGGAUACCAAAAAGUACUUGAACCUUCCAUUUUCAUCAACACCGUCUUACUUUUGAGAUUCGUGGACUCAAGCAUGUAAUGGUAGGCAUCGAGGACUGCAUACCCAUGCUCGUGUGUCCCCCAAACCAUAUCCUUGACAAUCCCUUGGCCAUAUAUAUCUUUCAAUAACUGAUCAUAACACCUAAUUCUGUAAGGAGUUGAUUGGCCAUAUCACUUGUAGAAGGGCCUUUGCCAUUAGAAAAUCUAUUUUGAGAAUAUUUAUCGAGGAACUUUGCCGUGACGUGAGGAUUAUGGCUCAUAAUAUGCUCCAAACCACAUGUGUGAUACUUUCCAUAAACAUUAAUGAAGAAUCUUUUAGAACUUAAGUAUUUCACAGCCCUCAACCACCACUUGCAGUUCGGAUUAGCACAUUAAAAGAAAAGACUUUGCUCAAAUUAAUCACCUUCCGUAGUCUGAAGUCUUUUUUCAAGCAAGCAAUAAAAAGAAGUAGAUAGUUCUAUCUUAUCCUUGAAUGACAUUUCCUUGUAAUAACAAAUUUCAUCAUCUUGACGAUUUCCCGACUAUAUUGAUUGAGAAGAACUGCCCACCAUAUUGCUCGCAACAACGGUCGUAUGUGUUUAAUCAACAUCUGGAAUAUUCAUGUCAAGAUCAUCUAAUUUAUCAUCAAACAUGUAUUGUUGUUCUUCUUUUAUAUUCUGGUUCUCAUUAUCUUUUAUUUUUUCAACCACGUACACCCUUAGCACUGCUUGGCUAAAUCACUCAGAUAAGCAUGCAACCGAACCUAAUUGGUUAUCUUGAAAGGUAGUACCCUCUGAUUUUCAAAGGUGCUGUAUAUGUAGUUGAUGAUGAAUUCUUUCGGUUGAUAAUUCAGUCCACAAUAGCUGAUGAUUAAUUUUACAAAAUCAUCAUACGAAAUAUUACUUUGGACUGUCUUACCUAUCAUCUCUAGUAUUUCACCCUUUUUCCAAUGCCAAAUAUAUUGAUUGCUCUUCUCGAUCCAUUCACCAUGAUAAUCCACCCCUAUUGUUAUUGAUUCCUUCAUUAGUGAUACCUAAAUAAAGACAUUUAUUAAAAAAGUUAAUAAAGACAUGAUAAUAAAAUUAAUAGUGAUUGUAUAGUACUAUAACAUAAACCCCAACAGAUGAGUAAUCUAUAGCAACAUGUGAAUAAUAUGUUGCCACAGGUGAGUGAUCUGUUGCAAUAGAUUACUCACUUGUUGAGAUUCAUAUUACGGUACUAUAGAACCUGAAGCUGAUUCUAAUAGAUGAGUCUUCUGUUGGAACAAGUGACUCAUCUGUUGCAAUAGAUUAUUCAUCUAUUGCAACAGAUGACGCACAUAUUGGGAUAAAUAUUACAGUACUAUAGAACCUUUAAAGCUGAUUCCAACAGAUGAUUAACCUAUUGCAAUAAAUCACCAACUUGUUGCAACAAAUGACUCAUCUAUUGGAAUCGACUUUAGGUUUUAUAAUUCUGUAACAUGAAUACCAAUCAGUAAGUCAUCUGUUGUAAUAGAUAACUCACCUGUUGCAACAGAUGACUCAUCUGUUGAAAUUAACUUUAGGUUCUGUUGCAACAAGUGAGUAAUUUAUUUCAAUAGAUGACUCCUCUAUGCAAUAUACAAUUCGUCUGUUGCAACAGAUGACCCAUCUGUUCGAUUCAUGUUACAACAUUAUAGAACCAUAAACAUGAAUUCAAUAUAUGAGUUUUCUGUUGCAACAGAUAACUUAUUUGUCGCAAUAGAUGAGUCAUCUGUUGCAACAGCUACUCAUAUGUUGGAUUCAUGUUUGGUUUCUAUCUGUUGUUGAAAAAAUAGCAGUAGUAGUGUAUCCAGAUGAGAAAUUCAACUAAAAAUCAUAAUUUUACUUACCAAAGUCACCUAUGAAGUAAUAUCAAAGUGAUAUACGAAACAAAAUUUGACCUAAACAAUUGGUCAAGUAGCAACAGUAGCGGUAACAACAACAACAAUGGUCAACAACAACAAGAAGAAGAUGAUAAUAAUCAAGAAGAAGAAGAAGAUAAUGAAGCAGAAGAUGGUGAAUAAAGCAGCAACAACAGUGAACAACAAAAUCGCGAAGAGAGAGAAAACAACAAUAAAUGAGAAGAGAGAGAAACUAAAGUUAUUCAAGCUAUGAUCUAAUGUUAUUUUAAUAACUUAUUAAUUUUCAUAAAUUUAACUAAACACUAUAGUUUAAUAAUUUUUUGAAAUAGACGAACAUAUAACAAAUAUGAUAAGGACAAAAAAAAGUUGAAAAGAAAUAUAUAUUUUAAAAUAAUAUCCAUGUUAUAUAAAUGGUUGACUUUUUUCAUUAAUUUAAAGUAAAGUAUAUAUUUUUUUAUUAUUAUAAUUUUAGUUAGAUGAUUUUCUUUAUUAUAUUUGUUAGUUGUAGUAUUAGACUAAAUCCCAAAAUUUCCCCCCAAAAUAAAAAAUUACAAAAAAAACUAAAAAUUUCCCCCAAAAAUUCUAAGAACCAAAGUAUUAGACCUAAACCCCAACAUUUCCUCCCAAAAUAAAAAAUUGAAAAAAACUAAAUAUUGUGUGGAAUGUUGUGCAAAUUAAUUUAUUAUUGUAAGUUUUAUAUUCAAAAUUGUUCAUAUCUGUAUGUUUUUGAAUUUUUCUUACACCUAUAAAAUUAUUUUUUUGAUUUAGAUUUAUUUCAAUAAAUUUAUAAAUAUUGUGGCUUAUGAGUGGAUUUUAUGAUUUUAAGUUCAAAUAAUAUCGAGGGAGAAGCUAUGGUUCUGUCCAUUGCAAUCACAAAGCCAUAUUAUAAUACUACGGUGAAGAUUUUUUAAGAAGUUUAACGGAUUUACAAGUUUGUUUACUGUAGACAUCGAAAUUUUGUGGACUCUAAAGAAUUUAAUUUUUGUUAGAGUUCUUUGAGGCCUUUUUACCCUAAAUCUAGCUUGGUGGCUAUUCUACCUAAACCCUAAAUUACACCUAUAUAAAGGGGGCAAAUAUCCUUUUAAAGAGGCAUCUGCAAUAUGCCACAAAUUCAUGAGAUAUUAACAAAAGAUCAACCAUACCAAAUACCCCACAAAUUCAUGAGAUAUUCAUACAUCUCGAAUAUCUCUAAUAUUCCACAAAUUCAUGGGAUAUUCAUGAAGUGAUCAACAAUCUCAAAAGUCCCGAUAAAUUCAUGGGAUAUUCAUAAAGGGAUCAAAACUCUCUCUUUAUGAUAAUCAAAUACAUCAAGAAAAUACACAAACCUUUCUUUCCCAAAUAUUCCUACGUUCGAGAAAUACGCCACUAACGGCCCUCAAUUACGGAAAAAUUCAUAUCCAAAUGUUCCUACAUUCGAGAAAUACGCUACUGACGACCCUCGAAUUAAGGAGAAAAUCUAGAGAGAAGAAUCAAGGGGGAACAAAUUUGUAUCCACAUCAUUUAUCAAUACAAAAUUGUUGUUUAUUCAUAUUUUUAUUUGUGGUUGAAGUUUAUUUUUCAUGAAUUAAAUUAUGUUGAAAACAAAUUGGCAUGCCCAAUGGGACCAAAUUUUCCCUCCAUCUCUUCUCUCAUAAAUCAAAUCUGAAAUAUGUAGCUGCAUAAAGAUGGAAGCUCAAUGGGUACUUCAAGACUCGUUACCAAGUCUAUACUCCGAUAAACCUUGAAGUAGGGGACAUUUGUAGACAUCAAAGAGUUUAAUUUCUUUUAGAGUUCUUGAAGACUACUUUACCUAAAAUCUAGCUUGGUGGCUAUUUUACGUAAACCCUAAAUUACGCCUAUAUAAAAGGGGAAAAUAUCUUCAAUAUCCCAUGGGAUAUUAAUAAAAGAUCAACCAUCCCAAAUACCUCACAAAUUCAUGAUAUAUUCAUAAAUCUCGAAUAUCUCUAAUAUUCUACAAAUUCAUGGAAUAUUCAUAAAGAGAUCGACAAUCUCAAAAGUCCCAUUCAUAAAUGGAUCAAAACCCUCUCUUUUUGAUAAUCAAAUACAUCAAGAAGAUACACAAAUCCUCCUUUCAUGGAUAUCAAAUUCAAAUGUUCCUACAUUCAAGAAAUACACCACUAACGACCCUCAAAUUACGGAGAAAUUCAUAUCCAAAUUUUCUUACAUUCGAAAAAUACGCUACUGAUGACCUUCGAAUUAAGGAGAAAAUCAAGAGAGAAGAAUCAAGGGAGGAACAGCUUUGUACCCACAUCGUUUAUCAAUAAAAAAAUAUUGUUUCUUUAUAUUUUUAUUUUGGUUGAAGUUUAUUUUCCAUGAAUUAAAUUAUGUUGAAAACAUUUAUAUUUUUUGUUGCUUUGUAUUUUAGUGAAAGGAUUAUUUAAGGUAUAAUUUUUUUCUCCUUAAAAUUAUAUAUAUAUAUAUACACACUCUCAUAUGUAAUCAGUUGGUCAUGAUUUUUGAUGCUAAAAUACUUUAUUAUUAUUGACAGACAUUAGUGUAAUUGGAGUAUAUAAAUGACAAAUUAAAAUUAAUGUUGAUCAAGCUGAAGUGUAGUCAAAGACUGUGAAAGGAUAGAAUGGAGAAGACUAUGUCCGUUUUAGACUUAAAAGAACUGUAUAGGGUAAUUGAUUUUAAAAAAAAAUGUUAACUGUAAGGCUUAUUUUAAAAGAAAAUGGAUUUGUAUCUAUACAUUGUAUAAAUCUUGUGAGUUGUGACUUACAAAUCUCGUGAAAAUUCUUUAAUUUGCACUAAAUGAAUUAUUUAAUGCAACCAUUAAUAUUUAAUAUGUCAUGUUACAAGAAAAUGUAUAAUUUUCACUUUUUGUAGCAAAAUUAUCUGAAUUUUUUUAGCUCCAAUUCUAUAUAAUUCAUGGCUAAAUUUUGAUUUUUUUAGCCACUAUGCGAAAAUAUUUGUGAUAAAUACUUCAUGUCAUAGCCAUAAAUUUUAUUAUUCGCAACUAAAUACAAUUACUAUUGCCACGAGAUUAAACUAUUGAAAUAGCUAUAAAAGUUAAGUUUGCAUGACAAACAAUUUAAAUACUUUACUAUAGUACAAUAUUUUUGUGGCUGCAUCUAUAAAGAUAGCUACACAUAGUAUUGGUCGUGGCAAAAUAAUAAAAUUAUUUGGUAUAAACAUAUUUUUCAUGGCAGAUUUUGUUUACCAACAAAGCUACAAUACAAAAAUGUUGUAGUAAUAAGUAUUAGUUCUUAGCCACAACCUAGGUAAAGUUUGUACCUGACUAUUAGUUAUACUAGUUCUUGCUAUGAAUACUACGGAAAAAAAAAUUAUGACUAAAACAUUUAGCCAUGAAAAUUAUCAUAUUUAGCUACAAUAUAAUUAGUAGCUAUAUAUACAAAAUGUUGUAGUAUGAUAGCAAUAAAUAACUUUAUGUAAGGAAUUUAUUACGCUUAUGUAAUUGACAUUUUGAGCUCACAUUAUAUAUUUUCUCUUAUGUACAUAAUUUUGUGAAUGAUGAUGACAACUUCUAACUUAGAUAAUAUAUUCUAAGUAUUAUUGUUGGACUCAUUAUGUAGUUGAAAGGUUGUGUUAUGCAAUAGACUAAUAUUGUAGCACGUAGAAGGAAUUAUGUCAAAUAAAGUGAUUGAUAAACAAUCGCCAUGACUCAUAUUAGUUGAUUUAUCUAACGACGAUGAAUGAUGUUGGAUUUAACAUUAAUUGUGCAUAUGAUGAUUGACAUGCAUAUUAAAUUAUUAAGUUAUUAGUCGUGCGUCAAAUGGGAGAAUGUAAGUUUCUAUGACUCACAUGAUUAAUUUUAAUUUAAUAAUUAAAUAAGUUAAAUCCUAAACAUGUAUGGAGAAGUUACCUGGUGGAUUAAAAUUACUAUCUAUUAUCCACAUCUCACGUUGAUGGACCAUGAAAAUAACCGUCCAACUCUCCCAAUUAUUAAAGAAUCGUCUCUCUGCCAAAGAAAAUAGUAACUAUUUUAAAACGCAAGGUAAAGUGAGAAACAAAACUUAUGAUUUUGUCGAGAACUGAAAAAAAACAAGUGCUUUCACUAAUUUUGGUGAAAAAGAAAAGUUAUGAAUAUUUCGGGUGUGUUUCUUGAAUGACUUAUUAUUAUUGAAUGGUAUGUGAAAAUUAUAAAGUUCUACGAUUGUGAAAUCAUGUAAAUCCUUAAUGCAAUCGAGAGCGAUUUUGGACGUCCACAGAGUAGAACUAAAACUAGAUAGGCAAAGAACAAAAGAACAACUUGAGGAUCAAGUAAGAAUUAUUAUACGAUAUUGAGUGAAAGAAUAAAGAUCUAGGUCCCCUUACAAGUGAAGAGAGACAACUAGGUAUAAUUUACAACUUGUGAUUUAGGCCAACCAUAAUUCGAUAAUAAUGUCCUAAAGGACUAUGACCUAUGCAAGUGUGCCACACAUCCUGUCGUUAGAGGUGAUGCCAGCUAGCAACUCUGCGUCACUUAGUCUGGUACAGGCCAUUCGCUUCUCUAAUAAUUUAGACAGAGUUUGUCCCAUUAGUCCUAUCUAUUUGCAUUUCCGAGAGGGUGCUUUUGGAGUUUUGGAAAUACCUCGUGGGACUCUACACCCAACCGAUUCUCUCGACGAGUGCCACUUGUCCCAAUCUCGUUUUCCCCAUACACUAUUCGAGUGAAUUUGUAUAUUAUUAACUUGAUGUUGAUAUUUUUCAUCACUCAAAUUAGGCACUUAGAUCUUGAUAGGGCAUUCAAUGAUCUAUUAUCCCACCAUAUUAUUCAUUAUCUGAUGUAUUUUUCAAAAUAUUAAAUUUAUUAUAUUUAAAAAAUAAUAUGGUAAAAUUAUUUCUAUUAUUUAUUAUUUUUUUAUUUUUGUGUUAAUAAAAAAAUAGACAAGUAAAAAUAAACGGAGAAAGUAAUAAAUUACUUAAACAGUAAAUUACAAUAACAUGUAUGGUCACUCGUAAAAUUAGUGUGUGCAAAUGACUUAUCAGAACAAUUUUAGUAAGUAAGUUAUAUCUUUUUCCUUUUAAAAAUUUAUGUGGCGGUUGACAAUGGCAUUAACUAGCGAUGGUAGUUAUUUUUGAAGGUCAACUAAGGAUAGACCUACAUUGUACCAAGUGAGUUGAACAGAAAAAUUGUUUCUCUUAUAUUCCCUUUAAUUUUUGAAGUCACGAAGACAAACCCAGAAUUUAAAGGUUGUGGGUGUUUUAAAAAAUAAAUAAAGCAUACAAAAAUAAAAAUGGAGUCGAACACACACCUUGCACGAAGGACGGCUCAAGGUUCCAUUAAAAUGGCUGAUUAGGACAAAAUACUUGCAGGCACACGCCUAGAGUGCUACUGGGGAUUAAUUUUUGGUCAAUUUUAUAUUAAAAUAAUUAAACUUUUAUAAAAAAAUCCUCUAACUACAAUUUUUUAAAUUUAAAUAUAUUUUUAAAAGUUAAAAAAUAAUAAUUUUUUUUAAAAAAUAAAAAAGAUNNNNNNNNNNNNNNNNNNNNNNNNNNNNNNNNNNNNNNNNNNNNNNNNNNNNNNNNNNNNNNNNNNNNNNNNNNNNNNNNNNNNNNNNNNNNNNNNNNNNNNNNNNNNNUCCCCAGCCAGCCCUCACCCUUGUCCAGCCUCCUCUCCCCGUCCAGCCACCCCUCACCCUCGUCCAGCCCCCUCCCCCAUCCAACCACCCCUCCCCUUCCCUCAACCUCCUUCCUCUCGAUAGUAACAACAAUGAACUCCAUUAACAAUAAUUGAUAAAACUUGAAAAAUAACAAAUGGAUCAUGAAAAUUUGUGAAAUUAAUUCAAACUCUUGAUUGGGGUUCGUUGGAUUUGUAUUUGCUAACUUGUAAUUGAAAAUUUAAGUCAAAUAGAAAAAUAUUUAAGCUAUUUGGAAUGAAUUUUAUGCCUAGUUUAUAAGUAAGUUUAAAAAUGGAGGUUGUUAAAUUGGAGGUUUAUAAAGAAAAGAAAAAGUAGAAGAGAGUAGAAAAAGAAAAGAAGGGGAAGAGAGGAAGGCGGGGGGGGGGGGUUCUUUUUUAUUUAUUUAUUUCUUUAUUUUAAUAUUUAGUAUUUUUUAUAUGUAAGAAUGACGUGGAACCUGACAUGACAGCUGACAUGAGUCGAGUGUGUUACGCUCACCGUAAAAAUGUUUAAAAUGUUGUUUGUUAGUGGGUUCAAGUGUCCAAAUGCCAAACAUGUAAGCAGAAGUAUUUAUAUUACAAAACGAAUAUAGUACAAGGGUCCACUGAACCAUUUUGCCACAUAUUUAAUACAUAAAAUUCAAAAAUCUAUUUUAUUUUUUUAAACACUACAAGUCAAAAUCAAAUACUCUAAAUAAUAUAUUAAUACCUAUUACUAACUUAGUUUUCCUCUUCUUCUUUUUUGGAUGAAACUCAAAUAAUAUCGUAACUUAUAAAUACAAAUAAUUUUUGGUGAAAUGAGAAACAUAUUAUUAAUCACCACCCAAUAAUUAGAAAAUAUAACCCGACACAAACCUGCUAAGCACCCUUUCUUUUGCCCCAUAGCUAUUCAACACUUCUAUUUUCCUAGUCAAUAUUCAAACUUAUUCGUCCCUUCACUCACGCCUCAUACGUUUUUUGAAUAUGUUAUCACUACAACAAAUAUAGAAUUAUAUUAGACGUCGUUGAACUAUAUUAAAUAUUAAAAGUUGAACCGCGUGACAUCAACUAACACUAUAUAUUGGAAUAAUUAUUAAGUCUCACACGUACUUCAAGCACACCUAUAUAUACGCUUCUAUCCUAUAUUCCUUUUACCUACCAAACUUCCAUUAAUUCCUCUGAACUUGCCAACAAGAAAAUUAAACCAGAACUCACAACCCUUUGUUCUCAAAUAUUUUUUGUUUCAAUUGUAGCAAACAAUGAUUUCAACAUGGAGGAAGAGAAGAUCAGCAAGAAAGAGCAACUCAAAGAAACAAAUAGGAGAAAAAAGCAUGGAGUUGUUGAUGAUUCCUAGCCAUUUCAAGUGUCCAAUUUCUCUAGAUUUAAUGAAGGAUCCGGUGACUUUGUCAACGGGGAUCACAUAUGAUCGACUGAGUAUUGAGACAUGGAUUGAAAGUGGGAAUCAAACAUGUCCUAUUACCAAAAAAGUGUUGAAGAGUCUUGAGCCAAUUCCCAAUCACGCCAUGAGGAAAAUGAUCCAAGAAUGGUGUGUUGAGAAUAAAGAUCAUGGGAUCGAGAGGAUCCCAACUCCAAGAAUCCCUGUAACCUCAUCAGAGGUAAUAGAGAUUCUUAGGAAGGUAGAGUCUUGCUGCAAAUCGCAGCAAGGCUUAGAGUCUGGUCGAGAACUAGUAAUGAAAAUGAGGAAGAUGAUAAAGGAAAGCAUGAGGAAUAAACGUUGUUUUGUUACCAAUGG